RNAcentral lists this long non-coding RNA (83991 nucleotides) under Malus domestica (apple). Its description in RNAcentral is "long non-coding RNA (MDOM_LNC002118)". Lineage: Eukaryota; Viridiplantae; Streptophyta; Magnoliopsida; Rosales; Rosaceae. The record is from RNAcentral.
GAAAUUAGUGGUUACAGGUGGAAUCCUCGGUGCUUUGCUACUUGUUCUACUGAUGAUUGCAGCAUUUCGGGUAUACAGCGCUGAUAGGAAGGAAAAAGAGAGUCAAUUAAGAAUUGAAAGAUUCUUGGAGGAUUACAAAGCACUCAAACCAAGCAGGUAUUCGUAUGCAGAUAUUAAGAGGAUUACAAAUCAAUUCAAGGACAAGUUGGGCGAAGGAGCCUAUGGAACUGUCUUCAAAGGAAUGCUCUCUUCUGAAUUCUUUAUUGCUGUCAAAGUCCUCAACAGUUCUAAGGGAGAUGGGGAAGAGUUCAUAAACGAAGUGCGAACGAUGGGUCAUAUCCACCACGUCAACGUGGCUCGCUUGGUUGGAUUUUGUGCUGAUGGAUUUAUACGAGCUCUUGUUUACGAGUUCUUCCCCAACGGUUCCCUGCAGGAUUUCAUUUCAUCCGCAGGUAGUAAGAAUUCCUUUCUUGGUUGGGAUAAGCUGCAAGAUAUUGCCCUAGGCAUAGCCAAAGGAAUUGAAUACCUUCACCAGGGAUGUGAUCUACGAAUCCUGCAUUUCGAUAUCAAACCCCAUAACGUGUUGCUAGACCAAAACUUCACUCCAAAAAUUUCUGAUUUUGGUUUGGCCAAGUUAUGUUCCAAGGAUCAAAGCUUGGUGUCCAUGACUACAGCGAGGGGGACCAUUGGCUACAUUGCACCUGAAGUGUUCUCCAGGAAUUUCGGAAAUGUGUCUUACAAGGCAGAUGUUUAUAGCUUUGGAAUGCUGCUGCUUGAGAUGGUAGGAGGAAGGAAGAAUAUUGGUGUAACCAUAGAUAACAAUACAGAUGAAAUUUACCAUCCACAGUGGAUUUAUAAUCUUCUAGAGGAAGGGGAUGACCUACGAAUCCAUAUUGGGGAAGAAGAAGAUGGUAAAAUUCCAAAGAAACUUGCAAUUAUAGGGUUAUGGUGUAUCCAAUGGCACCCGUCGGAUCGUCCUUCCAUGAAAACAGCGGUUCAAAUGUUAGAAGGAGGGAGGAGAAAGCUUGACUGUGCCGCCUAAUCCCUUCAUGCCUACAGGUCCUACAACUAGAAAUGUAAGACGCCUAGAGCUAGAAGCAAUUGCUGAAUUAGAGUAAAAUGUAUACGCAAAUGUAUAGUAACAUUCGCAUUGAAUGUGUAAUGAUUCAAACCUAAGGGAUAUUUUGAUAACCAUUUCGUUUUGGUACCAAACAAAAGAAGUUUGUUUUCUCUCCUUGUUUAAGCAUUAGAUGCCAAUUAUUGUUUAUCAUUUUUAAAUUUAUAUUUUGUUACAGUAGAAGCCUAGAAGGAAAUCGAGCACUGGACUUACCAAAUUCUAACUCGUUUCUACACACCAAGAGCUUGAUGAUUUCGGCUCUUAUUUAUAGUAUUUAAGCUAUAAGCCGUGACAAUAAUUAGAGCACUAUCAUUUGUUGUGAGCUUCAACUGGUUAGCAUUUUUGUAUGUUUUAAACUUUUAAUUAGAAUAUAUAUUUCAUGUAGACUUAUCUUGCCAUAAAGCAUGUCAUCCCCUCCCAAGUUUUUCUCUUCGCGUUGAGUUUGGGAUACGAAAACUUGCCAAACAAAGUGGAUUGAUUAGUAACCGAAGCUUAUUAUUCGACUAAAUAUUAUUUGGAAUUUUAAUUAAAAGAAACAAUAUGAAUCGUUUUUGUUUGAUUUGAAAACUAUAAAAUGAGGAGAUUAAAUUGUUAGUUGUUAGGAGUAGAGAAAUUGGUAGAGAUCGAAUUCAUACAAGAAUGUAUAGACAUUAUUGUGCUUUGUCACAAGGAUAAAUCACAUAAAACAAAAUGUAGUACUUUGAGGAUGGAAGAAACUUCAUGGAUGACGGGUAAUCAACACAAUAUGGGUGGGGAUGCAGAGGUGACGCGGAAGGAAUUGGCGGGCUGGUGGAAGUGGGUUGUGGCAUGCAGAGAGAGUGGGGUUGGGGACGCAAGAGAUUGCGUAGAAGGUAGAGGCGGGCGUGAGGGUGACGUGAGGGCAAGGGAAGUAGCAAACCGUGUGGGCUGCUGUGGUUGAUCCACUAGGGUGGCUGGAUAGCCUUUUUGACCAAAUUAUAAAGCGCAUAGACUUUUUGACCAAGAGGAUAGUCAACAAAUAUGCAACGUUUUGCACGGGUAUCAAAUUUAUGAGUGGGAUGUGUAAGAACCAAUAAAGCCUCCUAGAGAUCUAAGUCAAGUUAAAUAAACCACGAAUAACCAAAACAAUUAAUAUACUACAAGUAUGAAAUAUAAACCAACUUGCAGCAGUAAUAGAUGAAACCAUGAUCAAACAAGUAGUAGACCUUCUCCUCUCUGUCAAAACCAAUAAUACUCAAACUAACAAUAGGUCUUAGUUCGAUAAUGAGCGUAUGUUUUGUAAGAGCAGAGGCUACUAUUUAUAUACAAUCAAUCUAUGUAAUUCUCCUAUUAGAAUCUUUAUUCAACACUGAAUAAGUUUACCUUAUUGUAUACAAAGUGUUAAAACCAGUUUUCAUACUUUCAUUCAAUCCUUCACAAAUAAGGAUUAAGUAUACCUUUUUACAUUGGGACUUUUCUAUACGGAUCUGAAACAAAUAGUAGGCCUUAGGAAUUAUAAUCAUGAUCAUAUUCUUACAUUCUCCCACUUGAUCAUGACCCAAAACCAUCGCACAACAAUUCAAAUCAUUAUAGAAGUGAUCACUAAAUGUCAAUGAAAAAUUACUUCAUCACAAACAAUCUAUCAAUGCAUUUCAAAGUACUGAAUCCAGAAAUUCACACUCUUGAUACAAUACAGAGCUAAUUUCAAAAUCACAGAUACUUAAUCUGCACCUUUGUAACAUUGUGAACCAACUGAUUAAAGACAAACUCAAAACAAGUUUGCUCCCACUUUUGAAGCCAAAACAUUUAAUAUCAACACAUGAUACCAAAUCGUAAUCAUCUCAAUAUUCAAACCGCUUAAAUAACAUGAUUCGUAAUCCAAGUAAUUACUUAAACCAAACUCUUGAAAGAUCAUAAGUAAUACUAUGAACAACACUUUAUAAUUCAGCCAAUUGCUUUAUCAAAUAAAAAACUGACUUUAAAGCAUUGUAAGAACCAUAAAACAAAAUUUUGUCUUCUAGAACAAUUAAUCACAGAUAAUCUGGAAAAAUUGAACCCAAAUGAAAACAUUCGAUUAUUCAAAACUAGCUAAAACAUAAAACUAGUUGAAACAAAAUAAUUGAAACAAAACUAACUAAUAAACCUACAAAGAUGUCAUCACCUUUAAUACUUCUGUACCAGCAACUACUCCCACUGAUCAAAAGAUUCCAGCACUCCCAUUCGAGUAACAUGAGCUUUGAAGACUCCAAUUGGUAAAGCUUUAGUCAAAGGAUCUGCAACCAUGAGAUUUGUACUAAGAUGUUGCACUUCUAUAGUUCCUUUCUUUACCAUCUCCCAAACUUUCAGGAAUUUUACAUCCAUUAGUCUACUAACAGAAUUCCUCUUAUUGUUUUUAGAGAAAAACACAGUUGAAGUGUUGUCACAAAACAUCUUCAUCGGCUUUUGAAUUGAAUCCAUUAACUUCAACUUACUUAUGAAAUUCUUGAGCCAAUUAGCUUGCUUGCUGCCUUCAAAACAGGCUACAAAUUCUGCUUCCAUGGUGGAUGUUGUUAUGAUAGAUUGCUUAGAACUUUUCCAUGAAAUAGCUCCACCUCCAAGCAUAAAGACAUAACCUCCAGUGGAUUUUCUUUCAUCUAAGUCUCCAGCUAGAUCUGAAUCAGUAUAUCCAGUGACUUCUAGAUGUGGAUUUCUGCCAUAUAUGAGCAUGAACAACUUGGUCCGUUGCAGAUAUCUCAAUACCUUCUUCGCCGCAGUCCAAUGAGCUCCACCUGGAUUUGAUUGAAACCUAUCCAAGAUGCCAACAAUGAAGGCAAUAUCAGGUCUCGUACAAACAUUUGCAUACAUCAAACUACCCACCAAAAAGGCAUAAGGUUUGUCUCUCAUCUUUUCCUCUUCAAUUUCACUCUUGGGACAUUGUGCUCUGGUGAAUAUAUCACCUUUAUUGAUAGGAACGUUGCCUCCUUUGCAAUGCUCCAUGUUGAACCGAGUUAGCACUCUAUCAAUAUAACCCUUUUGAGAUAAACCCAAAAGUCUCCGCCUUCUGUCUCUCACAAUCUCUAUCCGAAGAACAUAGUGUGCUUCACCAAGGUCCUUCAUUUCAAAAUUAACACUAAGCAUGGACUUAGUGUUCUGCAGUAAUUGAGAACUAGAACUAGCCAGUAGUAUGUUAUCGACAUAUAGCAUCAUUAUAAUGAAAUUUGGUCCACUGAACUUGAUAUACAUGCAAUCGUCUAACUUAUUUUCAGUGAAACCAUGAGCUGUAACUACUUGAUUUGAGAUACCAUUGCCUUGAAGCUUGUUUGUGACCAUAAAUUGACUUAUUUAAUUUACAAACCAUAUCUUCCUUCCCCCUUUGAGCAAAUCCAAUUGGCUGCCUCAUAUAAAUAUCUUCUUGUAGCUCUCCAUUAAGGAAAGCCAUCUUGACAUCCAUCUGAUGCAGCUCUAAAUCGAAAUGCGCAGUCAAAGCCAUUAUGACCUUCAUGGAAUCUUUUGAUGAAACAAGUGAAAAAGUAUCGUUGUAGUCAAUACCUUCUCUUUGAGUGAACCCUUUUGCAACUAAUCGAGCUUUGUACCUUUCAAUUCUACCUUGAGAGUCUCUUUUCGUUUUAUAAACCCACUUACAACCUAUAAGCUUGAUUUUGGAAUUAGAUUCUACCAAUGUCCAGACUUUGUUUUUGCUCAUCGAUUCCAAUUCCUCAUUCAUUACAUUGAUCUAUAAGAUUGAUUGUGAGCUCUUUAUAGCUUGAUUGUAGGUGAUGGGAUCAUCAAUAUCACCUAUGUCAUACUCAGAUUCUUGCAAAUAGACAUAAUCAUUUGAUAUGGUUGACUUCUUUGUUCUUGUCGAUUUUCUUAAUUCUGGUUCAGCUCGAGGUGGUUCUGAACUGUCAACUUGAUGUUGUGUUUGCACAACAUGAUCUUCCAGCCGAGUCUGUUCAGAUGUAGUUUCUGUUUCAAGUCCACAAUCUACCAUUUGAUGAUCUUCUUCUUCAUUUGGACUAAUCUUUUGCGGGAAUAUGGGAAGAAUCUUGUAAUUUUCUGCAGGAGAGACAUAUUCAUCUAAGAUUUGUUCCUCAAAAUUAAAUUCUUCUUGAUUCAGAUCUGCCACAUCUUGGUCUUAUAGAAAAACAGCAUUGUGUGACUCUUGAAUUCUUGAAUGAGCUUGUGGAUCAUAAAAGUUGAACCCUUUGGACUUUUCGCAGUAGCCAACAAAAUAACAAGACUGAGUUCUUGCAUCUAAUUUCUUCUCAUGUGGAUUAUAGAACCUUGCUUCAGCCUUGCAGCCCCAAACAUGAAAGUAAUCAAAAUUUGGUUUUCUUCCAGUCCAAAUUUCAAAAGGGAUUCGUGAAACAACUUUGGUUGGAACCCUGUUGAGUAUAUAAGUUGCUGUUUUGAGUGCUUUUCCCCAUAAGAAUGUUGGAAGUUUAGCUCUAGACACCAUGCUUCUCACCAUCCCAAUCAAAGUUAUGUUCCUCCUUUCUGAGCCUCCAUUCUGUUGUGGCGUUCCAGGUGUCGUAUAUUGUGCCACAAUGCCAUGUUUCUCCAGAUAAAGAGCAAAAGGUCCUUUCUAUUGACCUGCCUCAGUAUACCUGCCAAAAUACUCUAUUCCCCUAUCCGAUCUAACAAUUUUAAUAGUUCUAUUUAAUUGUCUCUCAACCUCAGUUUUAAAAAUUAUGAAGCAACUAAGGACAGCUGAUUUUUCACUAAUGAGAUAAGUAAAACUGAAUCUUGAGAAGUCAUCAAUAAAAUUCACAAAAUAGUUGUUUCCACAUAUAGUUUUAACUGGAAAAGGACCACAUACAUCAGUGUGUAUGAUUUCAAGCAGAUUUUGACUCCUAGCUUCUAAUUUUCUAGUAUUAGUCAAUUUCCUUUUCAAACAAUCAACACAUUCACUUUUGGUUUGAAAAUCAAAUGAGGGAAUCAAAUUGGACUUAGAUAAUUGUAAGAUUCUCUCUUUCGAAAUGUGUCCCAACCGUUUGUGCCACAAAAUAUUAGAAUUUUCAAAAUCAUGCAUCCUUUUGGUGUUUACAUUUAAAACAUGCACAUAAUCAUUUUCAAGAGAACAAUCCAAUUGCCAAAGGUUUUCACGUAAAUAAGCUUUUCCCAAAACUGGGUCUAAAUUAUUCUUUUGAAAAAACUUUAUGCCCUCAUCAUCCCCAAGAAAAACCAAAUUAUGUUUAGUUAGUUUUGAUGCAGAAACUAGGUUCCUUCUCAUUGUAGGCAUAAAAAGUACAUCAUUUAGUUCAACUAUAAAACUAGAAGAUAAUUUUAGUUUCACUUUCCCUAUAGCUUCUACAACAACCUUAGUCCCUUCCCCAACAAAAACACUAUAAUUCAUUUUAUUUGUUUGUUUUUGUUUUUCAAAACCAUGCAAUGUAUUUGUGACAUGAACUGAUGCACUAGUAUCAAACCACCAAGAUUUAGCAGGAAUUUCAACCAAGUUAGACUCCUCACAGACAUAGACAUCAAUAUUACCCUUACUCCUCAGCCAAUCCUUAAAAGUUUCGCAAUCUUUUCUAACAUGACCUUUGGUUUUGCAAAAGACACAUUUAAGCUUAGUUAUAUCUUUAAUUUUAACUUUAAUAUUGUCAUAUUUCUUAGAGGAUUCAACAUAUUUAGCAGGCAUACUAGAUUUAGAGACAUUAUCAUAAGACUUAGAGUUCUUACUUGGAUUAAUUCUGCCACCCUUCUUGCUCUUUCCUUUGGAUGCAUGUACAAGGUUUACUGCUUCAAUUUCCUUGACCUUGUCUUGCUUCAGUCUUUUCUCUUCUUGGACACAUUGAGCAAUGAGCUCAUCAAGUGUCCAAAGAUUCCCUUGAGUGUUAUAUGAGACUUUCAGUUGACAAUAUUUAGCAGGGAGUGCUUGAAGCACCAUAAAAACCAGUUGAGUCUCUGAAAUAUGUACAUCCAUUGAGUUGAGUUCUCGGCAGCAUCUGAGAGUUUCAGAAUAUGAUCCCUAAUUGAGCCAUUGCCCUCACACUUGUAAGUUGUCAAGAGUGACAUGUAGUGUCCAAUUUCAGCCUUCUGAGGUUCUUGAAACUUCUCUUCAACAGCUUUGAAGUAAUCAACAACAAGGUCAUGUUGUUUGAUACCUCCUCUAACAUGAUCAGUCAUGCCAGCCUCCAAAAUGGACAAUGUCAAUUUAUUUGAUCUCCACCACCUCUCGUGCUCUGCUUUCUUAGCCUUGGAACUUUUGUCAGUCAAUAAUGGGGGUUGUGGAUUGUCAAUUGCAAUGUCAAAUUCAUUGAGUAUCAGUAGCAACUUGAUCUCGCGUCUCCACUUCUUGAAAUUACUUCCACCAGUAAGAAUCGAAACACUUGCCAAAUUCAAGGGUUUCAGUGAAAUUGCAGCAGAUCAUAAUGAAAUCAGUAAACAUGAACCAAUAGGUUCCUGAUUUCUCUACUACUAGUUAAACUGUACAAAACAAAAUUUGAACCAAUUUGACCAUAUAUGUAGUCCCAAUGAUAAAGGAUACACAUAGAUCAAACAAUUCAAAAAAUGUCCUUUUUUUUUUCUUUCGGAAUAUGUAUCAAUUGAUAGUUCAAUACUUAUCACUCAUAAUUCCAUUUGAUUUACAGAUAACACAAUCUUCAAAAAACAAAAUAUGCAGUAUAUACAUGCAUACAUUUUUGACAUUGAACUGUUGAGUUUUUUUUUUGACCCAUCAAGCAAAACCAAUCAAUUAUUGGAGAUGUCUGGAUGCAAUAAUUUUAGUCAUCUUAAUUAAAAAUAGAUAAUUAAGAUCUCAACUUCUGGCAAUAAAAAUAAAGAAUCACACGAUAACAUGAGGAUCAUAAUUAACAUAUAUGCAUUUUAAAUCCAAUUCAUACAAGUCUAUUGAGUUUGUAUUGCUUUUGAAUCUCAUAUAGUAUCAAUUAGAAUAAGGCACUCAGAUUCAAAAUCAUAGAGAAGUGCAGUAAAUAAAAAAUUAUCACUUUCUUAUGAAUCAGCAAAGAUUGAAUUAGACGAAAAAAGAAAACGCAACACAUACCAGUAAGGAUCCAGAUUGAAAACGAAAUAGUGCAGAGGAAGUAAUGAAUUAUUUGUAAUCUAGAUUGACUACUCUUUAUGAACCCUAAUUCGAUCAGAAAACCCAGUUUUUCUGAACCCCCAAUUCGAAACGACGGCAACUUAAUUUUACCAAACAAACAUUAACUUUGUUUUUUAGUUUUUUUUUUUUUAUAAAGACAGCUCCUGGGUUCGAAACCUUUAGGGGCCCCUUUUAUUUUAUUAUUCGAGUUUUUUAACUAAAACUUAGGCUCUGAUACCACAUGUAAGAACCAAUAAAGCCUCCUAGAGAUCUUAGUCAAGUUAAAUAAACCACGAAUAACCAAAACAAUUAAUAUACUAGAAGUAUGAAAUAUAAACCAACCUGCAUCAGUAAUAGAUGAAGCCAUGAUCAAACAAGUAGUAGACCUUCUCCUCUCUGUCAAAACCAAUAAUACUCAAACUAACAAUAGGCCUUAGUUCAAUAAUGAACGUAUGUUUUGUGAGCAAAGGCUACUAUUUAUACACAAUCAAUCCAUGUAAUUCUCCUAUUAGAAUCCUUAUUCAACACUGAAUAAGUUUACCUUAUUGUAUACAAAGUGUUAAAACCAGUUUUCAUACUUUCAUUCAAUCCUUCACAAAUAAGGAUUAAGUAUACCUUCUUACAUUGGGACUUUUCUAUACGGAUGUGAAACAAAUAGUAGGCCUUAGGAAUUAUAAUCAUGAUCAUAUUCUUACAGGAUGGGCACUCAUUUUCUUCCUUAUUCAUGUUUGGUGUUGAAAAAUAGAAGCCUCCUAAUUUGGUGGCGUUGGAGAAUCCUUUUAACCAUCCAAAACAUGGAUCUAAGGAGUCAGGAAGCAAGAGGAGUUUAUCCAUAUUCAUGGAUACAAGAAGCUAUGAGCAAAGGAAUGAGGACCCCAUUUUAGGUGAUUAUUCUUUGCUUCUACAAAGAGGAUCUACAUAAGUAUAAAGUCACCUCUCUUUGUUUUGAAUUUGAGUUGAGUCUUUGACUAACAAUUACUAGACUUUUAAUUUCAUGAGUUAAGUUUUGUUUUUGAGUGCAUAUAAGCAUGCUAGAGCCUUUAAUUGUCAAUUACAUGUAUGUGUGUUGCUCAAAUGAACUUAGUUUAUCAAAAUUUUCCUUCAAGACCAACUUCUAUGGCAUGUGUGGUUUCUUGUGCCAAUCACACAAACGUUAUGUAAAAAGAACUUACACAUUACAUUGCAUGAUUGACAAUUAACAACACAAUAGUGUUAUAACUGUGUCAUGAAAGUUUUUAUGCAAAGUCACUUGAUAUGCUGCAACAAUUAGUAAACAAUAUUAGAAAGACCUAGAGGAACCCACGAACCCGCAAUUCAUUCCAAUCCAUUAAGUAGCUCAUGCAUCAUUUCUCCUCAGCAAAUGUGAUUUUGAAAGGUAGACGAAUUUCUGAUUGCAUUGGUCUAGUUUCAGAAGGGUUCAAUUUUAUGGAAAAAAAUGCUUGUGGUGGUAAUGUGAGCAUAAAAGUUGAUAUUGUUGAAGCUUUUGAUACUUUGAAUUGAAGUUUUCUUCUUCAUGUGCUUUCUAGCUUUGGUUUUCUCGAAUAUUUGUGGACUCGAUGCAUGUUUAGUUUUAGUAUGGUCGGCUCGACUUUCAAUUUUGGUAAAUGGCACACCACGAGGAUUUUUCUCUUGCUCUCAGGGUGUACGUCAGGGAGACCUUCUUUCUCCACUUCUUUUCUGUCCAGUAGAGGAAGCUAUGAGUAGGGGUUUAUCUUUGCUUUUUUCUACUAGUCAAAUUACUGCUAUUUCAGCUUUGUGGGGUUGCUGCCUUCCUACCCAUGUGUUAUAUGUUGAUGAUCUUUUUAUUUUUGGUCAUGGAAGUGUUCGAUCUCUUCGUGCUCUUCGAAAUUUGUUGGAUAAAUAUGGUUGUGCUUUGGGACAACUUAUUAAUGCAACUAAGAGUACUUUUUUAUCUGGGCUCCACCUCUGCCCAUUUCAGAGCACAGGUUUAGAGAUAUCUUGGCUUUCGUUAGGGUACUGGUCUUUUUACUUAUCUUGCGGUACCCAUUUUUUGUGGUAAGCCAAGGAGAAUUCACUUUCAAGUUUUGGUAGAGAAGGCUAAAGCUCGCCUAUCAAGUUGGAAAUAUAAACUUCUCUAAAUGGCUGGACAAUUUCAGUUGGUGCAGUCUGUUUAUCAAAGCUUGUUUCUUUAUAGUUUCUCAGUUUAUCAAUUGUCGGCGUGCCUUUUAAUUCAUCUUACUGCUUGUGCAAGGAAUUUUCUUUGGUAAGAAGACCUGGCUUCUUGAUAGUUGGUAAGUGUUGACUGAAGUAUGGUGACCUAAUCAGGAUGGUGGGCUUGGUCUUCAGGAUUUAGCUUCUUCAAACUUGACGACUUUACUUAGAUUCGGUUGGGAUGCUUUACAAUCCCGUUCUUUGUGGGGCUUUUUUGCUCUUCAGCGUUUUCUUCUUGCACCUUAAAAAAACAAAAUAUCUACUUAUGGUCUUCUGUGUGGCAUGGUUUAAAGCGUGCCUUACCUAUUCAUAAUAAUAAUAGUUGUUGGAUUAUUGGUGAUCAGAGGUUAGUUUCCCUUUGGUUCGACAAAUGGUUAGAUGACCCAAUUAGUAACUCUUCAUUAUCUCUAGUCAUUUCACCUAUGGUUCAUCCUCAAGUUUUAGAUGCUAUUGAAUCUCAAAGUUGGUCUUGCCAUAUUAUUUUACAAAUUUAUUCUCAUCUGUGGUUGAACAAAUUUUACGUAUACCUUAGCCUUUAAAUGCAGAGGAUGACAAAUUAAUUUGGAAACCACCACCUACUAGGAACUUUUCUUUUUCUUUUGGUUCACCUUAUCUGAGGAAUCUGCUGCUAUUCUUUUCUUUGGGUGUCGGAUAUCUAGGCAACUUUGGAGGUGGUUAGCAUGUCAAUUUGGUACUUCUUUGCCUCUUUCAGAUUCUUCAGAUGUGUUUAGGAUGUCUAUAUUAAACCCUUUCUUAUCAGUUGCAUAAUCUUUGGAUUUUUGCAGGUCUUUCUUCUAUUUCAACUAUUUGGAAAGCUCGAAAUAAGUUUAUUUUUUAGGGUCGAUCAAUCUCCCUUCAUCGACUUUGCAUGUCUAUCAAUUCCAGGGUCGUUCAUAUUGGGAAAUUUAUUCUUUGUUACUCUCAAGGUUUGGACACUCAUAUCAUUUCUUCUCUUGGGAUUCGACCUAUCCCUAUCAAGGCGCCUACUGUUCUUCUGCGCUUAGGUCUCCUCUUUGAUUUCCUUGGAUUAAAGUUAAUACAUAUGAUUUGUCUAAAGGAAAUCCUGGUCCUGCUAUGUGUGGAGGAGUUUUCAAGGAUUUCCAUGGUUAGUUUCCUGAUGAUUUCUACUAAUGGAUUGGGCAUCACAACUUUUUUUUUUUAAUUUUUUGCAUAAUUAUUAGCAAUUAUUAUUAGUGUUGAGUUUGUAUAUCUGCUGGGUUAACAUUGCCUUGGUUGGAAAGUGAUUAUUGUAGUGUUAUUGCUGCUCUCCAAUCAACCAAUUUUGAUUUUGCUUGGCCUCUUCAUACACAAUGGCCUACUUGUCUAGAUCGCAUUCGGAAUAUGAUAUUCUAUGCCUUUCACAUAUAUCAUGAAGGAAAUGUUGUUGCGGAUAAAUUUGCUAACAUGGACUUGUCUUCUCCAACUUUGGUGGCAUGACUUCCCUCCACCAGUGGCUUGUGCUGCUUUGUUUUCAAACUAUAUUCGCUUGCUUGGCUUCCGCUUCUCAAACUAAUGUGCAUCUCACCAUGCAGGUAUGUCUCCAUUUCUUGUUUUUUCCUAACCUUGUGGUGUCAUUUGACUUGUUUUGCAAAAUGUCUCCAUUUCUUGUUUUUUCCUAACCUUGUGGUGUCAUUUGACUUGUUUUGCAAGUUUUUGACUUUUUAGGUUUUGCUUUAGAGGGUUUAGGUUUCAUGUCCCCCCUUCUUUUCCUUGUAUCUUUUUUGUUUUCGUUUCUAGAGGGGUAAGGUCUAUGUCCCCCUUCUUAUAUAUUCAUGUUGUUUUUCUCCUUUUCUUGGUAUAAUGAGGGAUAAGGUUUAUGUCCCCUCUGACUAGGUGAAACUUAUUAUUAUUAUUAUUAUUUUGUUAUCCAUAAAAUAUCCUUCAUCCCAUCUAGGUUUUCUAAAAUACAAUAAAAAUUAAUUAGCUCAUGUGCAAGCAAAGUAUGGGCUUCCCAUGCGCAGGAACUUGAAUUUACUCAUAUUUGGUAGUUACGUAGUUUGAUACGAGGUGCCUCCCCAUCGUUCAAUGUGUUCACCCACAUGAUGUUAAGUGUAACCUUCUUAAGGUUCAACAAAAUUAUUGUUUCUAUUAACAAAUGUAAAUAAAAAAUAAGCAAAAUACUAGAUAGAUCACAUAUUUUAUUUUUAUUACAUUGGUGUGCCGUAUUGUGAUAUGACUGCAUGCAUGCCACGUUUUGUAAUGAGUUAUCUCAUUAGAUGUUAAUUGUAUGUAUCACUUUCCAUAUCAUAUGGUACAUCAAUGUAGUAUAAAUAUGUGGUCUUUAUAAUACUAAAAAAAAAAAAAAGUAAUGUUGCAUUUAUCACAUUUUUCAUACCAUUGUAUCAUCUCUUUAUAGAAGCAGGGCACAUCAACAUAUGUGUCUCAUCUCUGUUAAAAAAGUGAUACAAAUAUGGUAUGAAAAAUAUGAUAAGAGUAGCAUUUACAAAAAACAAAAUCUUAAAGUUAAAUGAACUGAACAAACAUAGAAAAUUUGAAAGGUACUGUUAGCAGUUCAAUCCCACGAAAAACAGGGGGUGGUCUUAAUCAACACAGAUGAGACGUGCAAUUCAUCUGUAAAGUUCAAUAAUUUUCAUUUACCACAGCUUAACAUAAACAAGCUUCGUCAUGCAUAAAUGUGGAACUUUAUGAACCAAAGUAGGCAGCACAAACAGGAUAUGAGCGAAAAAUGACACUCUCAAUAGACUGAAUGGAAUUGAGUAAAAACAAUCUCACAACUGAUGAGAAAGAUCAUGAAAAUUCCAAGUUAUCCCAUUAGUGUUUAAGACAAGAUGCCAUGAAGAACGUCAAUACUCUGCAUAGCUAUUCUCACAAAUGGUAUGUACAACAUUAUUAUUCCUGGUUACUUCCAAAUAAAAGCUUUUCAAGCACUGCAAAUCACUAUUCAGCUUUAAUGUGUCCCAUCAGUCUUCUACAAAAGCAAAACGACAGUAAUAAGUGCAUCGGUGGCCCUGGCGACGGAAUUUAUGGCGCCUCUUCGUUCUUUCAAUUAUUUCAAAGCUUCCCGGCCCUGUAUUCCUGUACAAAGAUGUGUGAUGUUUUAUCAGUUCCAUUUGGUGAUUGGGUGGGAAAUGAAUUUAAACUCUUCAUUUCAAAUAGUCUAAACCAAAUUGUAUAGAAUGUGAAGCAGAGGGCAAGAGGUGUAGAUUGAAGAACAAUGGCACUAAGAGCAAAACUGAAUUUGUUCAUCGGAGGUAAUCAAAUAAGGAUUAUGCGUGUAAAUCUUAUUUCGCAUGUAUUCUGCUCAUGAUGUUUUAAUGAUGAUUAUUGGUAUAUUCUGCUACGUGUUAUGAUUUUUCUGCUUUCAUGUAAUUAGCGGCUUAGAUAUGUGAAAAAAAAAAAAUUGUUUGGGUUAGUAUUUGAACAUUGGGUGUAAGUGAAAGAAGGCACAAGGAUGCCAAUUGAAAGGGGAAUUGCUCGAAGCCCAACAUUAUACCCAGAAGCAAAUUGAGGCUUUCUCAGCCAAGAGUCAUAAACCACGUGUCUAUAAGUAAAGUGACAAGUGAUGAAGAUUAACCUACUAUCAACAAAGAACACUUUCCAGUGGCAUUACAAGUAAGAAAGCUGAUGACUCAUUACCCUCCAAAUGUUUUCGGGCAAGAGCAAAAGUUACAGUAGUCGGGCUAGUUUGCCUAUAAAAGGAAGAAGAGGCCCCAGAGACAAAGACACUUAACCAAUCAAACAAACAAACAUACAAACUCUGCUCUCAAGCCAGAUUUGCAUCCAAAAGCUGAACACAGCCCAUAUUUAGUCCUUUUAACGCUAGUUCCCUACAAAAGACAUCUUUUGUCUAGUCUAAAAGCUUUUCUACCUCCCUUAGUGGCAUAGUAUCGAUUCCCUUGUGUAAACUUGUUUACCAUCCAUCCCUUUUUAAGCAUACAACUCUUGUAAACUCAAAGAGAAAUGAUUGUAAGAAGUUCAACCUUGCCAGACAAGGUGAAAUCUUGCCCGAAGCUCUUUGUUUGUUUUCUAAAUUAGUAGAUCUAUUGCUUAAUGCAUUCUCCAGUAUGUAUUUAAGUUAUUUCCACCUGUUUUUCUAUUUUAAGAAGUUCAUUUGCAUCUGGAUCUGGUUCGCUUAAAUGAAUAUGCUUUCAUUAGAUAUACUCUGGAACCAAACAAGUAACUUAAGGGGAUCUGGACCCCCUUCAUUUCGAACAUACAAGACUAUGAACUAAAAGUCCUUGUUUACAAGGCAAGAAAAAGAACUUAAUAUGGACUUAACCCAUCCACGACAAUCAUUUGAUAACAAGAAGUUUGAAGUAACUUGGGGCGCAAGUAAUCUACUUAAAACACACUUGUUCUACAUCUGUUAUACUGAGAUAGCAGUGACACGCCUAGAACUUAAUUAGUUUUGAUUAUGAGUCUUAAGGCCUACACCUAAGGCCCCAUAAAGGAACCUUUCAUAACUAACUUUGUUCUCUUCUUGUAGCACAUCAACAAGCAAGAGCCCGACUACACAUCCAAAGUGCCAAUCCCUUGGGGAGCUGUGCUGAGGUCCGAGGAUCCUUCUCCACAGAAAUCUUUGCCCGAACAUAGUUUUGGCACGCCCGGUGGGAUUCGAAUACUAGUCUUGUAUGCCAAGAAGAAGGAAGAAGGAGAAAACCUUCAAGUGGAACACAGAAUACGAGCUACCCCGGUGUCUACCAAGAUCAAUCAUGACAGCUCAUCCAAAAGAUUUCCCUUCCCUACGAGGGCUAGCUAUUUUAGACAGCUCGACUUCACCUGAGAAGUCAGGGAGGAAGGUGACCAAUGAAGACUUGCAAGCCACCAUGAUGCAAGUAUUGAAAACUAUGGAAAAUAUCACUUUGGAAAUCGGAGGAGAAGUGAGUAGACUUUGUUCUUUAACAGGGAGUCUACAAAGAAGAUUAGAUCUGGAGUACUUUACUCCAAAUAAUGGUCAUUUCAUGGAAAUGGUGAAAGAAGCAAACCCUGAAAGAGAACCAGUUAUCCCCCUAUUUCCUUUACUGGAGGAAAAAAAGGAUGAAGGAAAAAACAAUGAGGGAUUUAGAGUUAGUGAACCAGUAGUGGAGGAAAUCCUAUAAGCAAAGUUGCAUGACCCCUUAUUAUUUUCACUAGAUAGUAGAGGCAGAACGAGAAAGACAGAAAGAAGUAUGGGAUGCCCUAUGUAAUCGGAGAGUCCAGUGGGAAAAAAGAUUUCACAACUGUGGACAAACCUCCUCCUUAUAGGCCACCACCAUUGGCUAAUAAGGGAUGAGAGCCUAGAUGGAGAAAGCCCGAACCAAAAAAGGAAGCUUGCUUGGGCAAUGAUCCUAGCGCGAAGUGGGAAUUUCCUUACACCCCACUUAAUAAUACAACUAACCAACAACUCAGAGAUGAGUUAGCCAAGUUAAGAAGAAUGAUAGUCUACAAUGCUAACCUCAGGCUCGCCCCACUGUUUAGGAUCACCUACCAGAAGCCAUACCCCGAAAAGAUCGAUGAGCAUAAUCCAUUUCCACUCAACUUCAAGAUGCUCGCGUUUCCCACUUUUAGUGGAAAAGAUGGCAGUGUGUCCUCUAGAGAUCAUAUCUUUAAGUUCUCUAAUCACUGCGUGGCAUUCGAAGAUAAUCCUAAUUAUAAGUUAAGAUUGUUUGGGAACUCGUUGGUUGGUCUAGCAUCUCAGUGGUACUCUCUGUUGCUCUCCAAUUCUAUUGCUAAUUGGGGGCAAAUGGAGAUGGUUUUCCAUGAGCAGUUCUAUAGGAUGGAGCUCAAGAUGUCUAUCAAUGACCUAGUAGAGGUGAAGCAAUAUGAACAUAAGUCUACAGAAGACUUCAUGAUGAGGUUUAGAAGGACAAGAAUGAGGUGCCAAUUCCCUAUCAAUCAUGCUUAGAUUAUAUCUAUUGCUCAGAAAGCAUUGAGGUUGCCUUUGAGAAAAAAGUUUUAUGAUGUACAGUUCAAUGAGUUGCAAAAGUUGGUAAUUGCUGCCACAAAGUAUGAAAAGGUAUUGCUUGAAGAACAACAAGUGAAACACUCAUCCAAGGUCCCUCAUUUUUAUAAAAAUAAAGCUGCAAUUCACCAAGUAAAGUUUGAAGGAAGAGAGCCGGAAGGAAGCGAUGAUCAUGGAGAAGAAAAGAUUAAUAUGUGUGCAGCAGAGAUGACUACGCUUUUUAAACCAUCAACAGUAAAGGGUUUAGUUCAUCCAGUCAAAGAUCAGAAGAUAGUAAUGAAUGAUGGUGGAUUUGUCCCUAUGAACCCCCCUAAGUAACAGAAUUAUUAUUUUGAUUUAACCAAUGCCUCAUAAAUCUAUGAAGAGUUAGUGCGGGCAAGAGUAAUUGUGCCUAAUAGCACCAAGAAGAUGCCAAAGCCAGAAGAAUUAAGAGGAAAUAAAUAUUGCAAAUUACACUACACCUUUAACCAUUCCAUAACCAACCGUGUCCAGUUUAGGGAUUAAAUACACGACCUCAUAGUAAAAGGAAAGUUGUUAUUGGAGAAAUCGCAAGCCAAUAUGAUGAUUGACACAUAUCCCUUCCUAGAAGCUCUAAUAAACAUGAUCAACCUGACUUGGGCUGAGAAAGGGAAGGGAAAAGCCACUUGGGAAGUAAAAGCAGAAAUAAGGCAAGUUGAUAGACCGACAGAAUGAACUAUCAAGUUGUUCGAGAAACCCAAAACAGCCAUAAUUAAAGGGCUGGUAUUAUGUAGCAAGUGCCAGUAUGAAUGUGAGCUAGAGGUGCCAGCAUCAGGAGCCAUUAUUGAUCAAGAAUUGAUUAAAAGAAAAGAGAAAGAAAAACAAGAAGCCCACAGAAGCAUCAUGCGAGCAGUUGAGAAAGAAACCUCCAGGAAUGUCUUCUAAAAGUUAGGAGGGGAUUCUCAACCAAAGGGCUUGUCAGAGGUAUUCAGAAAUUGCGAAGCCUCUGAAGAAGUAGAAGACAAAGAAAGCUAAAAUACCAAAAUGGGUGGUGAAGGUUUAGCCUUCCCAGCCUAGAUAUGAAGAUAGUGAUGUCGGGAUGAAGGGAAGAACAAAUAGUGUAAUAUCCACAUUCACCAAGAAGGAUUCUACUCGACUCGGGGGGAAAUGGUAUGUAGUUAGGAAGGAUGGAAGACCUAUCAAGGAAAUGGGAGCCUCUAUGAUUAGGAGAGUCCAGAGAUAGCACAAAGCUCAUAUGAACUCACUCAAAGUCCCUGCUACAUCAGAAACCUCUGAAAAUGAGAAAUUCGAGAAGGUACGUCAUGCGGAAGAAAUCAACUUCACUAGAGAAGUGAAAAACAGGUAGAAAGAGCUAAUAGCAAGACUAAAGAAGAGGGAGAUCAUGUGCCACAAAGCCCUCAUCCAGGAAAGUACAGAAUCUUGAUGAGGGCUCAAAAGGAUAUGGUGAUGAUGCUAACCCCAAGAUGAAACCCAAAACCAAUAUGCUUUGGAACUAUCUCGCCUGAUAGAGGGUUGCACACACCUUUUUUGGUUAAUACUCUAUUUGAAAACCUGGAGCAAGUAUAGGACUUUGGAAUAACCUGAGAAGAAAAGUUGCUCGAGUUAAUGAUACCACAAAAAGCACAAGUUUGGUUAGAUGAAUUCAUGGACCACAUUAGGGGCAAAAAUGAGGAUGUACCUGAACCUAGCAACUUCCAUGUAAACAUGACAUAUGUUCUAUCUACUAUGUUUUACGUCGAGCCUGAUCAACCUGCCGCAAUGGAGGGUGAUUACUUGGCAACAGAACCUAUGAUGGCAUGAAAAGAGGAAUCCAGCCAGACAGGUUUGCCCGAGCAAAUAAGGAAGGAGCCCGAGAGAGUGUAUUUUGACAGAAUGGUCUUUAGCCACCCGAAUAUGGUCUUAGCUAACCAUUUUAAGCCCAUAUAUGUAACUGCUCAUUUGGAGGGAGUACCCUUUAAGAGGGUUUUGAUUGAUGGAUGAAAUGCGGUCAAUAUAAUACCAUUGAAGCAUAUGAAGAAGUUUGGGAGAAGUGAAGAAGAUCUCAUUCCUACGGUUUUAACAGUCUCUAGCUUUUCUAGAGCUAUCACCAAAACACAUGGAAUACUACCAUUAGAAGUUGACUUGGGGUCCAAGCAAAUCAUGCUAGCUUUCUUUAUAGUAGAUGGUACUUCCAUUUAUGGAGCUUUGCUUAGUAGAGAUUGGAUUCAUCAGAGUCUCUCUGUACCAUCUACAUUACACCAACAGAUUGCAGUUUACCAUGAAGCCAAGACUGGAAAACCAAGAUUUUGGGAGAUAGUGGAGGCCGAGACACGGCCAUUCCCCUCUCUCACAGUUAAUGUUGCAGAAGUUAGCUUUUGCAAUCCUAGUAUUGGGAUUCUCCAGUGCUUAGGAGCUGAUGAGAACGGCCGCCCGACUCAGGUGAUGGCCCAAAAGCUUUUGGAGCAAGGAUUGUUCUUCACAAGAGAUGAGUGAGAUGGACCCUAUAUUAUCCCAACUCCCUAACACCAGUAAUGUCGAAACAAAGAAGAAAUGACCAAGUAAUUGCAGUUAGGUUUUUAAUCAAAAGACUGUUAGUGUAUGGGAGAGAGAGAAAGCAAGAAAGAGAGAGCUUGACCGAGGAGCAAGAGGAAGAAGCUUCAAGCAACCAGAACAGAGAUAAAGAAGAGUUUUUUGGAAAUGAGUUGGAAGCAGCCAUACAAAUGGUUGAAUGUAUAUAUGACUUGGAUGGGCCAGAAGACUUGCCCGAGAGUCCAGAGUUAGUUGAAUUUUUGUGUGCAAGACCUUACAAGCCACCACCAGAGGUUCAAGACCAUUUGGAGACCAUUGAUUUAGGGACUAAACAGAUCAGUAGCUUGUUAGAAGUUGAAGAUCGGGCAAGAAUAGUCAGCCUGCUGCGCGAGUUCAAAGAUUUUUUUGCUUGGUAUUACACUGAGAUGCCAGGUUUAGAUUCAACCUUAGUAGAGCACAGAAUGCCUAUUAAGGAGGGGUGUAAACCUGUGAAGCAAGCAUCACGAAGGAUGUCAAAAGAGAUUGAAGAAAAAGUCAAGGAAGAGAUUUAAAGGCUAGUAAAUGCUGGAUUUAUUAGGCCUAUCAAAUAUGUCAAGUGGUUGACAACAUUGUACCUGUAUUAAAAGCUAUAACUAAUGUAGUUUGAUGUUGUGUUGACUAUAGAAACAUUAAUGGAGCCACGCCUAAAGAUGAAUACCCCAUGCCCAUAGCUGAUUUAUCCAUAGAUGCAGUUGCAAAACAUAAAGUUUUAUCUUUCAUGAAUGGGAAUGCCGGUUAUAAUCAGAUAAAAAUGGUAAAAGAAGAUAUACAUAAAACAGCUAUUAGGUGCCCAGGACAUGUUGGAGCAUAUAAGUACUUAGUCAUGCCAUUCGGGCUAAAAAAUGAUGGUUCAACCUAUCAAAGAGCAAUGAACACCAUUUUUCAUUACUUGAUUGGCAAUAGCAUGGAGGUGUACAUUGAUGACAUCGUGGUGAAAUCUAAAAUUAAAGAACAGCACCUAGUAGACCUCAGACAAGCCUUAACAAGAAUGAGGAUCCAUAAGCUAAAAAUGAAUCCUAAGAAAUGUGCUUUUGGGGUGAGGUCGGGCAACUUUUUGGGUUUCCUUGUUCAUCAAAGAAGGGUGGAAGUCGAAAAAAAUAAAGCUCGGGCAAUAAUGGAAUCACCACCUUCCACCAACAAAGUACAACUACAGAGGCUACUAGGAAAAAUCAAUUUCUUAAGGAGAUUCAUUGCUAACUUGGUAGGUAAGAUUCAACCGCUAACUCCUCUGUUAAGAUUGAAAGACAAAGAAGAGUUCGAGUGGGGUCCACCAUACCAAGAGGCCUUUGACAGAAUAAAGGCUUAUUUGACUUCUCCACCAGUGCUCAUGCCACCUCAGAGGGAAACCUUUAAAGCUUUAUAUUUCUGCCUCUGAAAAGUCAAUAGGAAGCUUGCUAGCUCAAAACAAUGAAGGUGGGAAGGAACAAGCAAUAUACUGCCUCAAUAGAAUCCUUACUGAGGUAGAAACAAGAUAUACACCAGUGGAAAGGUUAUGUUUGGCUUUAUACUUCACUGCCUGUAAGUUAAGGCAUUACAUGUUACUUUGCCACAUCCACAUUAUUGCCAAGACUGAUGUGAUCAAGCACAUGCUGUCAAAACCAAUGUUAACUUGGAGGAUUGGAAAAUAGAUUCUAGCACUUUCAGAGUUCAGCUUUCAAUAUGUGCCCCAAAGAGCGAUCUAGGGGCAAGCAAUUGCAGACUUUUUGGCUGAGCACCAAGAGUCACAAGAUGAGCUUGUUAACAUCCCAGGAACUUUGGAAGUGGCCAGUGUGUGGAUCCCACCAAGCAAAGCCUUCUCGAGCAAAGAAGAAUGGAUCUAGCAAGAGAUAAAAAGAAUAACUAGCCCCUGAAUCACUAAUUGGAAGCUAUAUUUUAAUGGAUCUUGCACUCAAAAUGCUGAUGGGGCUGAGAUUGUCAUUAUUGAUCCUAAGGGUGCUCACCACUGUUAUUCAUUUCUCUUAGAUUAUCAAGAGACUACCAACAAUUGGGCAGAGUAUGAGGCAUUAAUAAUUGGUUUGGAAAUCUUGAUAGAGUUGGGGGCAACUAAAGUUGAAGUGUUUGGUGAUUAAUUAGCUAAAUAGGGAGUACAAGUGUAGACAUAUUACCAUGACUGGUUAUUACUUGGCGGCCACGUAAUUGUUUAGCUAUUAGGGUGCUGAAAUAAUAGUUAGCCAUAUCCCCAAAAAAUCAAAUGCAAUGGCCAAUGAAAUGUUGUAGUUGCCUUCUGGAACACAGAUCCAAGAAAGAAGAUUCAACGUGGAAGUGGAAGUGCAAAUGAGGAAUCUCCCUUCUAUUUUUUAUAGAGGAUUCAACCUAGAUGUGAUGACUAAGGAGCUCGAGAUGGAAGGUUGAAGAUCACCCACAAUUCAAUACUUGAAAAAUUCUUCUUUCCUCAUAAGUAAGAAGAAUAGGCAGUAAGCAACUAAGUAUGUUAUGUGGGAGGAUAAUUUGUUAAGAAAGUCUCCAGAUGGAUUAUUGUUAAAAUGCUUAGGCUAAGAAAAGUCAAUGAGAGAAAUGGCUGAAGUACAUGAAGGAAUAUGCAGAGCACAUCAAGCUGGUACCAAGAUGAGGUGGUUACUUAGGAGAUAUGGUUAUUUUUGGCCCGACAUGGAAGAAGACUGCAAGGCCUAUGCCCGAGGGUGUGAGGAGUGUCAAAGACAUGGACCUUUCCAACAUGUGCCCUCAGUGCCCUUAAACCCCGUGGUCAACUCUUGGCCCUUCAGAGGAUGGGCAAUGGACUUCAUUGGGAAAAUUUACCCAACUUUUAGCAUGGGGCAUACAAUCAUAAUUGUGGCAAUAGAUUACUUCACUAAGUGGGUAGAAGCUUCAACUGUUAAAACUAUCACCUCAAUUGCAGUGAAAAAGUUCAUUAAAACCAAGAUCUUACAUAGAUAUGGGGUGCCCGAGACAAUUGUCACAGACCGCGGGCCAUCUUUUAUUUCAAAGGAAAUAGAAGAAUUUGCAAGUAAGUUCAAGAUAAAGAUGAUCCAAUCUAGUCUUUACUACCCCCAGUCAAAUGGUCAAGCAGAGGCCAGUAACAAGAUCUUGGUAAACAUUAUUAAAAGAAAGGUGGUAGAUAGUCCAGAGAAGUGGCACGAAAAGUUAGAAGACACUUUGUGGGCUUACAAAACCUGCAAAAGGGUAGGAACUAGAACUAUUCCUUAUGCCUUAACCUUUGGGCAUGAUGUUGUACUCCCCAUGGAGAUUAAUGUAAGUUCUAUUAUAAUUCAAAAUCAGUUUGGGUUGCACAUUGAAGAAUAUAUUCAGGCUAUCUGUCAAGGAGUUGAAGAUCUAGAUGUAGCCCGAAUUGAAGCUCUAAAUAAAAUUCAGGAAAGGAAGAGAGUUGUUGCCUGAGCAUACAAUAAGAAGAUGAUUGAAAAACUUCAAGGAAAAGAAUUAGUUUGGAAAGCAGUUUUGCCCUUAGGAGCUCAAGUGAAAGGCUUUGGGAAAUGGAGUCUUACUUGGGAAAGUCCUUUUAUUAUUCACCAAGCACUGGAUAAGGGAGGAUAUUACUUGGCAGAUUUAGAAGGAAACUUGCUAAGACAUCCAGUUAAUGCUAAGUUUUAGAAGAAAUACCAUCCAACUCUGUGGGAUGUCAGAGAUUGUUAUAUUGAAGAGGGCUAGUGAUUUCAAAGAGAAUUAAAGUUAGAAGGUGUAGUAAAACUUAAAUGUAAGGCAAGGAUUGAAACAAGUAAAGAUAUGGAAAGAUUUCAUUUCAUUUCAUAAUAAGGGAAUUACAGUGGCCUCAACCUAACAAAUUUACUUCACCAAAAGUAAUUAUUCUAGAAUGAUAAGUUUGCAUAACUGUGAAUAUUCUAGUAGGCUCAGCCAAAAUAGUACUGCUAUUGAUUAAUUGAGCCUCAUCAUAUUCCAACUCCGAAUUGUCCUUCUUCACUUCUUCAAUAUGUUGAUAAAGUUUACUUAGAAGAGUUCAUUGCUUAGCCCUUAGCAUAGCUAGUUGCUCAUCUAACUUCCAAAUCUCAAAAGUCACUACCUUAUUCUUCUCAUCUGUUGCUGAAUCUUCAUCUACCAGCUGUUGAAUAUGAGUUGAAAUACUGGAUUGUUUCUCCUUAAAACAUCUCACUCGAUUGGCUUGCCUCUCAGCCCUCUGAUGUUGAUCCCUCAAAACCAUCAAGUUCUCAAAAUAAGAGAUGAAGGAUUCAUACUGAGCUUUGGAUAGUUGAUCAGCCUUAAACAGAUCAGUUAUGGCCUUCUCUACGUCGUGAAGAGCCUUGAGGGUAAAGUAUGCUGAGAAAUCAUUCCUAGACUACUCUUAGAUGACUCGACGUUGCUCUUGAAAGCCUGAAAACCCUUGAGGAUCUCAGCUUUGUCUUGAGUUGCCCGAACUCUUUAAAAAGCUCGGGCAAAGCUGCAAUUGUAGAAAUAGGUGUAGGACAAGAGGGCAGCGCCCCAGUUCCUUCAGAGGGCACAACAAUGGAGGAGGUCUCAACAGAAAGAGGAACCCCAGAAGAUGGAGUAGAGGUAAUAGUGGCGGCAGUAGCUUUAACUUCCAUCUUUGGUCGAGGGAUGAGGGUCCCUGUGACCCCAGAAGCUAAAGGAGGUCGUGGAAGAUCUGAUUUGCUUACCAAGCGUGGAGGAGAUAUGCCUGAGCCAUCUUCAAAGCCCUGUUGGAAACGAAGAAAAACAAAUUAAGAAGAAAGAUUAUAAAUCAGAGCAUACAACAGGAAGGCGAGAAAAGGAAAAUUGAUAUACUUAAGUAGAGCUUGGAACCUUGGAAGAAGGUGGAUGAUGAGUUGUUUCUUUUCACUGUUGAGAGGGAUCAUUCCCACUUCCUUGUGAAUAAGGAAUGAUGCAUGAACCUUCACUAGAGACCUAUAAAUAUCAAAGAAAGAAGGCUAAUGUCAGUAAUUAGCUUAUGAAGAAAAGAAAAUAGAAAUAAGAGUACUUCUAUACCUGAGUAGGAUCUUGAGUGGAAAUAGGGAACUCCUAUGUGGUGGUUGCUGGUUGAAAAGAAGCCCGCAGCUAGUCACCUCUGAGACCACAGUGAUCUUAGGGACUAUGGGGUCCCCAAAGGCAGUAAUUGAUGGUUGUUGAGACUCCUAUGUUGGGGAAGACUAGAAGAAAGUAAAAGAUAAGUAUAAAAGAGAGAGAAUGCUUUAACCACAUAAUGUCAAGACAAAACACUCACCGAAUUGUUGUUGUCUUCCACAAAAUGCAGCAUCUCCCUAGUUAACGGAUCAAACAGGGAAGUAGAAGCCACUACCAAGGGAAGAGAGGUUGAAGGAAUAAAAAGAUGAAAAAGUAAAAGACAAGUAAAAGACAAGUGUUAAGGCUCUGAAAUUGGUGAAGAUACAAGUGUUAAGGCUAGAAAAAGUAAAAGACAAGUGUUAAGGCUCUGAAAUUGGUGAAGAUACAAGUUUAAAAAGAUGAAAAAGGACAUACUUUUGAAGGCUGAGCCCGAGAUGGGGAAGCAUGUGUUGGUCGGGCAGGAAGAGAAUAAGCUUCAGGCUGAAUGGACCUUCAUCUCUAAGGUCCUAUUUAAAAAUACAAGUAAAAAGUCAGUGCAAAUAUUGAGAGAAUGAAGAGGAAUUGAGUACUUAAAAUAAAUCAAACAUUUACCUCUAAUUCUUUGAGAGUAGCAUCAAGAACAGGCUUGUCUUUUUUAUAUACCUUCGCUCCCAACGGCUCCUCCCUUGAGACAAUAGUGGGUUUCUUGGUCUCUUCAUCUUGCCCGACGUCUAUCUCUGCAGGGUUGCCUUGGGCUGCAAGUGUAAAGAAACCAAGGAAAGGAUUAGAAGAGGGCAGAUUCAUGAAAAUUUAAUAAAUUACAAGUUAAAGAAGUAAAAGGUACCUAUCAGAAGGAGUUGGUUCUUCUGAUGAAUCAUUUCCUUCCAAUUCUCGAGCUCGCUCGAUUUAGGAUAGAAUUUGAUGGAUAGUUGCUUGAAGAGACAGUCAUGAGCUUCCCAUAUAUCUCUGCCAUACUUCUUAGUCCAUUUUGAUUCCCACUAAGUAGCAAAGCUUGAAGUACAUUCAAAAUUGAAAGCCAUAGGCUUUUUGGCAAUUUUGCUCAUAACCUUAAGACUUCAUUGGGCAGCUCGGAAUGUAACCUCUUGUGGGGGGUGUAGGUGAUAUGAGGUGCUGCAGUGAAUAAAAUCGAAAAAGGGUACAGGGAUGGUUUGCCUGAAGCCUAAUUGCCUGCUGCAGAAGUUUGGAUGAUAAACUUCUAGCCCGUGCUCGUAACGAUCACUUCUUACUCUCCAUGCAAGGUCAUUUGGUUGAAUGUAGCUAAUAAACUUAUCUCUGCAGAAAGUACUACCGUCAUCCCCAAAGGCAUCUUGGAAAGCUUGGUUGAAGAACCAAAGAUAUCUCCAUAGAACCGAUGUUCCUCACUCUAAAUCUGCCCGAGUCUUGCAGACACUAAAGAAGUACAGACAACAAAAGGUAGAAUGGUUGGUAGGAGAAGCCUCCGCCAGGAUUCGGGCAGAAGCAACACCCUUAGGGAAUUCAAGAUUGGGUGCCCGAAGCUCGGGGAAGUACUAUUGUAGCCAUAGCUGGAUCAUCCAGGUUGCCCCAUUGAGGUUGGUCUAGAAGGGGAUGCCUUGGGUCAUCUCAUACAAAAGAUAGUAAAGAUGAGCGAGGAGGAAGGGACUCGUAGCCACAUCAUCAAAAUUGUGCAGAGCUUCCACUAAAGGGAUUCGUUCGACUUUCACUGCCUUAGACUUGUUGAGGAAGACAUGCUUAUUAAGCCAGUAUAGUAGAAAAUACAUGUGAUCUUGGUCUCUGUUGGCGUUGGAAGAUGAAGGGCCAAAUUCCUUUUUCACAAAUGGAAUAAAACCCGUGAAAGAUGUCUCAUAACUCUUGAAAGUAGAAGAGUUAUAGUCUAGUUGGGCUAGGGGACUAAAGCUGCCUGAGCUCUCAGCCCGAAGACCUGCGCCAUAUCAAGGAUGGUUGAGGACAUAGGACCUAUCUUGAAAUCAAAAGUAUUUGUCCCCGAGUUCCAAAAGAGGAGAUAUGUGGUUAACAGCUCGGGCUUAGCAAUUAUCAUGGUCUUGGAGAGCAUUAUCAGCUUAUAGAUGUCACUGUUCCUCCAUUUUCUCUUGAAAGUAGGGUCGAGUUCAUUUACCCACCGCACCCAAGCUUCAUCAUUCAUCAAGGGGAAGCCACGAUGGUGGUGUGACCAUUUGGAGGAAGAAAUGCCCGACUCGGCCAAGAAUGGGUUAGGAGUGAACCAAUUUGCCUUGGGCAUGUUGUUUUCCACGACUACAGGGACUGGGGAGGUCCAUGCAUGCCCUAAGGAGUGUGCUCCUCCCUCCUCGAAGAAAAGUUCAGUAUGCAGGCCUGCCUAAGGACAAUGAAAGUCGUUAAGCAAGCGACGCAUGGUGGAAAUCCCCUCACCAGUCUCGUAGGAAGAUUAAGUUCGAACAACUUUGGGUGCCAUUGGUAAUUUUGAGAAAAAGAUAGGAAGAAAGUUGGAACUAGGAGCAAGAAUCUAGAAAACAGGAAGUACGGGGGAAUCUGGGAAGUGCUGGAAAUUCGAAGGCUUGAGAAUGCUAAGGUACUUAGCUGAAGGGUUUAAGUGAGCAUUAUAUAGUAAUCGAUUAGUUAAUGUUGGAAAACGUGGUUUAGUGCAAGGGUUUUGUUAAACAACGGCUGUCUUAAAUGGUGCAAGUCUCAAGUGAAGGCAUGCGGCGGUGGUUUAAUCAUUAUUAACGCCUCGAUUUGCAGACUCAACAACGAUUAAAAGGGGCACUAUUUGGGUUAGUAUUUAAACAUUAGGCUUAAGUGAAAGAAAGCCCAAUGAUGCCAAUUGAAAGGGGGAAUUGCCCAAAGCCCAGCAUUAAACCCAUAAGAAAAUUGAGGUUUUCUCAUCCAUGAGUCAUAAACCACGUGUCUAUAAGUAAAGUGACAAGUGAUGGAGAUUAACCUACUAUCAGCCCAAGAACACUUGCCAGUGGCAUUACAAGUAAGAAAGCUGAUGACUCACUACCCUCCAAAUGUUUUUGGGCAAGAGCAAAAAUUACAGCAGUGGGGCUAGUUUGGCCAUAAAAGGAAGAAGAGACCCUAGAGACAAAGACACUCAACCAAUCAAACAAACAAACAUACCAACUCUGCUCUCAAGCCAGAUUUGCGUCAAAAAGCUAAACUCAACCCAGAUUCAGUCUUUUUAAGGAUAGUUCCCUACAAAAGACAUCUUUUGUAUAGUCUAAAAGCUCUGCUACCUCCCUUAGUGGCGUAGUAUCGAUUCCCUUAUAUAAACUUGUUUACCAUCCAUCCUUUUUUAAGCAUAUAACUCUUGUAAACUCAAAGAAAAGUUACUGUAAGAAGUUCAACCUUGCCAGACAAGGUGAAAUCUUGCCUGAAGCUCUUUGUUUAUUUUCUAAAUUAGUAGAUCUAUUGCUUAAUGCAUUUUCCAUUAUGUAUUCAAGUUAUUUCCACCUGUUUUUCUAUUUUAAGAAGUUCAUUUGCAUCUGGAUCUGGUUCGCUUAAAUGAAUAUGCUUUCAUUAGAUAUAAUCUAGAACCAAACAAGUAACUUAAGGAGAUCUGGACUCCCUUCAUUUUGAACAUACAAGACUAUGAACUAAAAGUCCUUGUUUACAAGGUAAGAAAAAGAACUUAAUGUGGACUUAACCCAUCCACGACAAUCCUUUGAUAAUAAGAAGUUUGAAGUAACUUGAGGCGCAAGUAAUCUACUUAAAACACAUGUGCUCUACAUAUGUUAUACUGAGAUAGCAGUGGCACGCCUAGCACUUAGUUUUGAUUGCGAGCCUCAAGGCCUAUACCUAAGGCCCCACAAAGGCACUUUUUAGAACUAACUUUGUUCUCUUCUUGUAGCACAUCAACAAGCAAGAGCUCGACUACACAUCCAAAGAAUCAAUCCCUUGGGGAGCUGUGCUAAGGUUUGAGGAUCCUUCUCCAAAGAAAUCUUUGCCCAAACAAAUAUUAGUUAACUUCAGGAAAUGACAGUCUAAUUUACGGAACUAUCUUUUGCAGGCAAAACAAAAACGUUUGGGGCCACGUGAGUUACGUAGGAUUGGUGUUUAGCUUGGUUUACUCCGGGAUUAUAUUUCCUGAGUAGGUAGAAAGAACUCUUUCCUUGACUGGGAUAAGUUGCAAGAUAUUGCUAUUGGCAUUACCAAAGGAAACAAGGAUGUGAUCAACGAAUCCUUCAUUUUGAUAUCAAACCAUAAUGUUUUGCUCGAAUAAAACUUCACGCCAAAAAUCUCUGAUUUUGGUCUGGCCAAGUUAUGUUGCAAGGAUCAAAUCAGUGUCAAUAGCUACAGUGAGGGAGACCAUAGGGUGCAUUGCACCCAAAAUGUUUUCCAGGAAACUGUGUUUUACAAGGCAUAUGUCUAUAAUUUUGGAAUGCUGCUGCUUGAGAUUAUAGAAGGAAAGAAGAAUAAUGGUUCAACAAUAAAGGACACGACAAAUGAAAUUUACUAUCCAAAAUGGAUUCAUAAUCUUCUAGAAGAAGGAGAUGACCAACAAAUCGAUAUUCAGGAAGAAGGGAGUGUUAAGAUUCCAAAGCAACUUCCAAUUUUAGGGCUCUAGUGCAUCUAGUGACAUUCGGUGAGUUGUCCUUUCAUGAAAACGAUGGUCCAGAUGUUAGGAGGAGAAAACUUGACGAUGCAAGCAUCGCUAAAAGGCUCCUACAGUUAAUAGCAAUUGCUGAAUUAGAGUCACAUGUAUAUGUAUAGGCACCAACACUAGUAGUUCUUAGAUGAAUCCAAGCCUAAACAAUUACAGAUGACAGUUCUUCACUAAAUCACUUUAAAGUAAUAAUUUAAUUAAUAAUACAUUAUUGCACUUUCUCAACAAUUUGAUCAUCACCUAGCUGACAAUGAACAUGUUAGCUCCACGUUAGAACAUAUUGGAUUCGAUUUAUUGUCUUGAAUGUCACCCAUAGUCACAGGUGUUUCUUGUGGGCAUAGAGAAGGCCUGAGAGGCAUUUGCAAACAUUCACCAUCUCCUCCAAGCAUUUUGACAACUUUGGACAUCGAAGGGCGAUCACUUGGUUUCAUUUGAAUACACCACAAGGCGAUUAUAACCAUCUUUCUUAUUACUUUCUUUUCCUCCUCUGUAACAUUGUCCAUUUCCAAGUCAUUUCCCACAAUAUACUGAUCAUAUACCCACAUUGGGAAGUACAUUUGGCUUGGAUGCUCUACCGUUGAAUUCCAAUUCUUCCUUCUGCUUGCCAUUUCCAUCAACAACAUUCCAAAACUAUAGACAUCUGCCUUGUAUGAGACGCCUCCAAUAUUUUUGUAGAACAACUCAGGAGCAAUAUAUCCCAGUGUACCUCGUGCUGCCGUCAAAGAGACAAUGCUAUUAUCUACGGGAUACAAUUUUGCAAGCCCGAAGUCAGAAACCUUUGCUUUAAAGUUCUCAUCAAGAAGAAUGUUAUGAGGCUUGAUGUCAAAAUGUAGAAUUUGCAUGUCACACCCUUGAUGUAGAUAUUCAAUCCCUUGAGCCACUCCAAGAGAAAUCUCAUACAUGUUCUUGAUACUUAAGGAGAUACUUCCUUCUUUGGAAUAAAUGUAUUUAUCAAGAGAGCCAUUGGGCAUAAAAUCAUAUACUAAAGCACGCUUUGAUCCCUCGACACAAUAACCAACAAGUUGCACCACAUUAGCAUGGUGAAUCCUUCCGAUUGUAGUUAUUUCACUAAUGAAAUCUUGGCCAUUUGCUUUGGGCUUGCUCAAAACUUUAAUUGCUACAAAACGGCCACUACGUAACUUUCCUUUAAAUACGGAGCCAAAGCCGCCUUCACCCAACUUAUCAUUAAACUUGCAAGUCAUCUUCUUAAUUUCGGAGUAAGAGUACCUUAUAGGCAUGAAGUUGUUAUUGCAUUGCAGAAAGUCUUCUAUUGUACUAUACAUUGACAAAUGUCUUCUGCGCCAUAUAUAUACUAAAAAUGCAGUCACAACUGGAACCCCAAACAGUAGUCUUGCUGGAAAAAAUGACCCUGCAUAAGAAAUAUAUCACCAAAAGAAUCAUAAGAACAAAAACUUAUUUUUCAAAUCCACACUAUAAACUUUUUUCUUCUUUUGAGGUAAGCUUCAGAUCAAGCCACUCUUUAAUGAAUGAGAUAUAAAUUAACACUUACAAAAAAAUCUUUUGAUAAAUUAAACAAGUUCCGAGUCCCCAAAUCACCUCCACCACCCUUCCCCUCCCGCAUUGGCCGACUCCCUUCUCGGAUAGCUACACCGGCCACCCCACCCCACAACCAACCAUUCAUCCUUCCCUCAAGUCUCUCUUUCCCUUUCUCUUUCUUUCUUAUUGUUUCUUCCUCUUUUUAUUGCCCUCCUGUCUUAUGCCGGAGAAGGACACAAGGGACACCGGCAACCUCACAAGCUCUUAAAUCUGAGGUGGGUGACGGCAAAUUUGAAGGUGUCGCAGACCACCCUCAGGUUCAAUAUCAGAAGAGUAAUGCUAAGGAGAUUAAAAUUUUUAAACCAAAUGAUAUGUCAUAAAUAAGAAACACGCACAUUAAUCGAUACUUAAUUACUAAUCUAAUCAUCUUCAAUCAUAUCAUUUAGUUUGCAAAUUUAAUUUAAAAAUUUGGUUUCCUUAACAUUACUCAUAAUCAGAAUGAGAGUGGUAGAGAGCGAGAGGGAAGAGGAGAAAGAAAAAGAAAAGUUAAAACAUUCAAAGAGUAUCGAGUAGUACUGAUAACCCAUGAAUUUUGUUUGAUUUCAGUCAUGAGGUUGGAAUCUAUGCUAAAAAUGGACACGCACGCCCAUGCAUGCACACGCAUAAAUAUAUACAUUAAUUCUUACCGAUGACCAUGAGUAUAGCCGCUCCACGCGCUGCAAUAAAAAUAGCAAAAAGUAAAAAUCAAAUGGAAACGGCUCAAAGUUUGAAAAGUGAAUAAAAAUCAAAGACUUGACUAUAUUUUCAAGAAAUACAAGCUCUUGGGGGAGAAAGUCCCUACAAAUGGAAUUGAAUGGUAACCAUCGAGGAGCGUUUCCUGAAAUAAAUACCACACAAAAUUCAUCAACGAUAAAAUACUAGACUAUCUUUGAGAUGUGCAUAUAAUGUACCACAGUGACUAUUAAAAUAAAUUAGCAUUGAUUUGAGGGAGAAAGUCCUUACGAAAAUAAUAUACGGGUUCACGCAUAUAAUAACCUAGAGUGACAAAACAAUACACAAUUAGCAAUACCACAACGAAUCUUUAGAGUUUAAAAUCAACAAGUUUUGUAACAUAUCUUUUCAAGCAACAAUCGUAAACAUUGAAUUUGAAAGAGACUAGAAAGAUGCUUUUCUUUUCUUUUUGUUUGUUUGUUUUGUUUUGUUUUGGAGAGGGAUCACUUACGGAAUUGAUUCCACAGGAAUCGAAAUAAACCUACAGUAUAACAAGAAAACAACAUUAGCAUAACAACAGUUAGAAAAUAAAAUUCAAGUUGCUGCCAUUGUUGAUACCUGUAUAGCAUAUGAUAAAGCAACAUUUAAUUCAUUUGUCAUGCAAUUGAUAGCGGAACUAAGAUAUGGUUUUGGGAAAGGUCAUGACCCCCCACCCCCCACAACAACCCCAAACUCUUUAAUUUAGAUAAUAUCAUUUGUUCAAAAAAAUAAUCAUCAAUAUUUUAACAAACUCAAUGCCACAAUGAUGGAGAAGAGUGCUGCCCUUGCACCAUGGUGUGAAUUCGAACCGCAUCGGCUCCUAAUCUAACAAACCUAUUGUUUGACAAAAAAAAAAGAAGGGAAAACUAAAGAAAAGUCAUCAAAAACUUUAGUUUUAAUAAAAAUGAUAAAAUAAAGGCGUAAGUAAAUAGUACCAAAAGUGACUUUUCAAGGUAAAAAUGUCCUUAACUUUAAAAGUGAAUAGUACCGAAAAUGUUUCAUUAAGAUUUCCAAAAAAAAAUUAUUAUUUAAACCAUCCCCAUAUUUCUCGUCCUUCACAUCUUUCUCUCUCAAAUUAAUAAUUUUUUUAUAUGUUUAGCAAUCUCUUAACUUCUCUCCUCUUCUUUAAAACUAGAGUAACUAUUCACAAAACUAAACUAAAAAGUGCGCUAUGGAGUUUCUUGGAGCUUGAUUUUCUUAGUUUGACUCUUUAAACUAGCAUUCCAACAUAUUUAAAGAGUCUCAUGGAGAGCUGCAAAGACAAUAAAGGAUGCAACUAAAACGAUGGGUUUAUAAGCUUUAGUUUUUCAUACACCACACUAAAAAUUUCUAUUGAAGCCAUAUCGCUUUGGAUAAUACUUGCAUUCCUCUUUUGGGGAAUGAGCUCAUUCCUCCACUUACAAAUUAAUAUAUCUUUAUAGUAGAAAUUUCAUAAUUGGAACUAUUCAAUCUCCUAGUCUUCAUAUGAAAAUCAUACCUACAAAAAAUAAUUCGAAUCGGAGAUCGUUUAGUCAUCCAAAUGUAUCAAAUAAAUUAAUGGUGUAGGUACCAAGAAGCAUAAUCAUGAUGAAACGUUGAUUUCUUUGAUAGAUUUAGAUAACUAAGUGAUCUCCAACUUGAAUGAUAUUUUAUAGAGUUGAUCUUCAAUUGAAGACUAAGACAUUGAACGAUUCCAAUUAUAAAAUUUUUACAUUAAAUAUACGUUAUUUGUAAGUGGGGAUAUGAGUUCAACCCCACAAGGGGGAAUGCAAACAUUCUCAUGGCUUGAUUACUAUAGUCUAAAGUUGGAUUUCCAAUGGCAUUGUUCAUCUUUCCCCUGAUUUUGAAAAUUCACGGUUUUGGCACUGAACUCUUUCUUUGGGUGGUUCUGCGCCAAAAAGAAUGGGUUUCGGCUCUGCGUCUGGGCCCGAAGUGGGCUGCCCUGUGUGUUGGGCUGGGUUGCACGGAAAGAGUCGAAAUGACUCUUUUUCCCGCUUCAAUCCAAAUCCAACGGACAGGAUCUGGGGGCACUUUUUAUUUGGUAAAAUAUAUUUUCAUUUCACACUUUAAUAAAGUUACAGUUUAGGUAUACAUAUACAACAAACUAACAUAGUAUCUUAACCACUAAGCUAACAGCUAAGAAGAUACAUUUACAAUAUUGCCCUUUAUAUCCCCCCGCAAACUGAACUUAGGUUGUCGAAGUUGAAGUUUGUCAUGAAGGAAGAGGAAACGAAGCUUGGACAGAGACUUGGUGCAGAUAUCGGCUACUUGGUCUUGAGUGCAGACAAAAUGGACAGAGAUCUGCUUGGCAAAGACCUUUUCCCUAAUGUAAUGAUAGUCGAUUUCUACAUGCUUUGUCCGAGCAUGAAAGACAGGAUUUUUUGCUCGAGAUAUAGCAGAAAUAUUGUCACACCAAAGAUGAGGGGUGGUAGGUAAGCAGUAGCCAAUAUCCGAUAGUAAUUGACAGAGCCAGGUGAUUUCAGAUGCAGUAUUAGCAAGAGAGCGGUACUCUGCUUCGGUGGAAGAGCGAGCAACAGUCGGUUGCUUCUUAGCACUCCAGCUAAUCAAAGAGUUACCAAAAUAGACACAGUAACCUCCAGUGGACCGGCGGUCAAGAGCACAGCCAGCCCAAUCAGCGUCCGAGAAGGCAGUGAGAGUAGGAGGAGUGGAACACUUGGAGAACCAGAUACCAAUAUCAAGAGAUCCCUUGAGGUAUCUUAGAAUACGCUUUACAGCUUGAAGAUGUGAAAGUUUGGGAGUGUGCAUAUAUUGGCAUACAAGAUUAACUGCAAAACUGAGAUCAGGACGAGUCCAGGUGAGAUAUUGUAGAGCACCAACCAGGGAACGAUACUCAGAAGCAUUGUCACAUAAGGGAGAAUCAUGAUCAAGUUUGGAGGUGCUGAGAGGAGUACUGCAAGGUUUGGCACCAGUCAUGUUGGCCUUGGAUAACAAAUCCAAUAUGUAUUUAGUCUGAGAUAGAAAGAUACCAGCAGAAGAUCUUUUGACUUCAAGACCAAGAAAGUAGUGCAGCGGACCCAAAUCCUUGAUGGGAAACAGGGAACUCAGUUGCUGAAUAACUUGGUUACAGGCAUCAGAGUUUGGACCAGUAACUAAAAUGUCGUCGACAUAAACCAGAAUGAAAAUCAUAGCUGAACCCUUUUUGAUAAAUAAGGAAUGGUCGCUGGGAGAGCCAACAAAACCGAGAGAAGUGAGAGCACCAUGAAGCUUGUCAUACCAAGCCCGCGGAGCUUGUUUUAAACCAUACAACGAACGAUGCAAGUGACAGACAUGAGAUGGGUGAGCUGAAUCUUCAAAUCCAGGAGGUUGCUGCAUAAAAACUGAUUCAUUGAGUGUCCUAUGUAAGAAAGCAUUGCUGACAUCUAGUUGAUUCAAGAACCAAUCGAACUGGACCGCAAGAGUGAGGAUGAGGCGAAUGGUGACUGGCUUGGCUACCAGACUGAAGGUUUCGGUAUAAUCUAAACCUUCCUGCUGAUUGAAGCCCUUGGCAACGAGCCGAGCUUUGUACCGGUCUAUAGUACCAUCGGGCUUACGUUUGAUGCGGAAGACCCAUUUACAGCCAACAAUAUUCUGUGAGGGAGACGGGGGAACAAGAGACCAAGUUCCAGUUUUGAUGAGAGCAGUAACCUCUUCUUGCAUAGCUUGGGACCAAUGAGGAUAUUUGGAAGCUUGGAGAUAGGUUUUAGGGAUGUAAUCCACUGAGAGAUGAGAGGGAAAAGGGUGCUUAGUAGCAGUGAGAGCUUUGGGUUUGAAAACACCAGAUUUGGACCGGGUUUGCAUCGGAUGGGUGUUAGAAGGUUGAAGAGAAGUGGAAGGAACGAAAUCUGGAAUAGGCAGUACAUGACUGAAGGGAAUAGGUGUGGAAGGAUUAUGGGAGAAGGGGGAUGGGGAAAUGGAAGGGGAACGAGGGAAAGAGGGGGGAAUACUAGAGGAAGAAGAAAGAGGAAAAGUAAAAGUAAGGGUUGAUGGAAGAGAUGAGGUAGACCUAGGAGGCAGGGAUGAAGGUGGUAUGUUGGAGAUAUGAUGGAAUGGAAAACUGGAUUCAUUGAAGAUGACAUGUCGGGAAAUAUAUACUCGGUGAGUUGCAGGGUCAAGACAUCUAUAGCCAUUGUGAUUUAAACUGUAUCCAAGAAAGACACAGGCUCUGCUUUUAGGAUCCAGCUUCAAGGAAGUAUAAGGCUUAAGCCAGGGGAAGCAAGCACAACCAAAAACCUUGAGAAGGUCAUAAUUCGGAGCUCGAUGAUAUAGAGAUUCCCAAGGAGACUGUCUGGAUGCAGUAGGCAAUCGGUUGAUAAGAUAGAUGGCAGUGUUGAAAGCCUCCACCCAAUAGAUGUGGGGUACUUUGGAAGCUGUCAAAAGAGUGCGAGCAGUUUCAACCAAGUGACGAUGCUUGCGCUCGGCACACCCAUUUUGUUCGGGUGUGUGGGGGCAGGUAAGUUGAUGAUGAAUGCCAUGAGUAGCCAAAAAUUGAGAGAAACUAGUGCUCAAGUACUCUCCUCCGGAAUCAGAUCUCCAAAGUAAUAAUUUUUGUACACAGAGAAUUUUCAACCAGAGAUUUGUAUUCCAUAAAAGUGGACAGUACAUCAGAUUUGCAUUUCAAAGGAUAAAACCAGGAGUACCUAGUAAAGUCAUCCACAAAAAUGAUGUAAUACCGAAAACCUUGAGAAGAAGCUUGAAGAGAGGGUCCCCAAACAUCCAUGUGGACAAGUUCUAGAGGUUUGCGAGUUGUACAAAAAGUGGAUACAAAAGGAAGCUUGGAGCUUUUAGCCAAUGCACAAUAUGAGCAGAAUGACUUAGUUACAUGAGCUAAAACAGGAAUACAAGAUUGAGAAGCAAGUUUAUGAAGAAUCUUGACAGAUGGGUGACCCAAUCUUUGAUGCCAAACAUCCGUAGAAGCUUUAGCAGUGGUGGUGAGAGCCUUAUGAUUGCCAGUUGCAGAUUAGGAAAAAUGGAAAGGAUAGAACCCUUGCUGAACAGGUCCUUUAAAACACAUCCUCCCCGAAGAAAGAUCAUUCACAGUGAAGUGAGAGGGAUAAAGAUGCAAUGAACAGUGAUUAUCAAGUAAAAAUUGAUUUGCAGAGAGAAGGUUAUGUUUCAAAGCAGGCACAUAAAGAACUUUAUUGAGAUUGAAAGCACUAGUAGAAGUAUGCAAAGUAGUAGAACCAGAAUGAGUGAUAGGCAAACCUUUGCCUUCACCAAUAUACACUUGUUCUGGACCUGUGUAUGCUUCAGGAUUUUGCAGAGUGGAAUAGGAGUUGGUCAUGUGGGAUGUUGCUCCAGAAUCGACAAUCCAAGUAGGAUUGGAUGAAGAAGCAGUAGCAACCAUCGCUGCAGGAGAGGAUUUUCCACCAUAAGCCAGAUUGAGGCGAUGAGGACAAUCACAUGCUUCAUGAUCAAGUUGAUGACAAAUCUGACAGGGAUGUUUCUUGGUGUAGGAAGAAAAAUUGUUGCGACCUCCACGAUUAGAACGUGAAUUAUUACCACGAUUAGGAAAAGAUCUCGGAUUGUUAGAGGAUCGGUAAUUGCCACGAUUCAAAGGACCGCGAUUAUGAGAGCGAUCCACUCCACGACUUGGAUGACUGAAGUUAGAAGGAGAAUGAGCCACAAAAGCCUGAGAGUUAAGACUGGAUACAGGAAGAGGAAGAAUGCCAGCAGAGGUGUGAAGAGCCUGAAAAGAGGACAUCUCAGAGAUACUUUUCUUGCGAGUGGCUAAUUGAAUCUCCUUGCUAAGAAGCAAGCCAUGUAAUUCAUCAAUUGUUGUAGAUCCGAGACGAAAUUGAAUAGCAUCAACAAACGAAUCAUACUCAGGGGGAAGACCGUGGAGAGUGACAGAGAUCAGAUCGGAAUCUUCAAUCGGAGAGCCGGCACUGGCAAGAGCAUCAGCAAUGACCUCAAUUUGCUGGAGAUACUGAGCAGCAGAUGAAAUUCCUUUGGAAAGAUUACGAAGUCGAGAGCGUAGCUCAUGAAUAUGAGACUGAGAGGCCGUGGCAAGGCGAGAUUCCAAUUUCGCCCAAAGAUCGCGAGCCGAAUUCACACCAACAGUGUAGGGAAUGAGGGAAUCCGAGAGCGUGGAGUUGAGCCAGAUGAGAAUAUUCUGGUCAUUUUCAUACCAAGAAAUAAGCAGGAUUAAGAAUGCGAUUUCCUGAGGAAUCAAGAAGAAAUUGAACCGGCGCCGCCAUAGAUCCAUCAAUGUGACCAGUCAGAUUGUAUCGGCGAAAAAUUGGAGCAAAGAGAGCGCUCCAAGUCAAGUAAUUGGUGGUGGUGAGCUUGAUUGGCACCAUGGAUCCAAUAUUUUGGAUUGUGAUGGAGGUAGAAUUUGAAGAAUUAGGGUUCGAAGAUCCAGUCGGAAGGGGGUGAAUUGGAGAGGCCGAUUCCGAUGAAGGAGAUGCCAUUGGCAAAUAGAUGAGGAAGAGAGCACGAACAAAGAUCUUCAACCACGAUCUUCAACCACGAGCGAAGAAUCGAGCAAGAACGCAGAAAGAAGAAGCAGGAGAAAGGAGGAUCGAAGAACGAGAGUCGUUAGACAGAGAAGGCGAUUGAUACCAUAUUUGGUAAAAUAUAUUUUCAUUUCACACUUUAAUAAAGUUACAGUUUAGGUGUAUAUAUACAACAAACUAACAUAGUAUCUUAACCACUAAGCUAACAGCUAAGAAGAUACAUUUACAAUAUUGCCCUUUAUACUUUUGUCACUGCGUUUAAAGGGGUGGUUGCUGUCGAUGUCGUUGAGGCAUGGUUUGCCGAGGGGUUGAUGGGUUGCAGGUAGAGAUAGGGUUGACCAUAGGGGUUGCAGGUGGGAUGGGGUAGCAUACUUAGUCUGUGUUAUUUCAUUUCAACCAUCGACUAAAAUACACCAUUUUGGCAUCUAAGAUGAGAUCACACUCACAAUCACUACUAGAAUCUUUUCAAUUAUAGGGAAAUAUGCGUGAAGUGACAAACUUAUAAUAAAAAAAUAGAACUGGAGUGACACUAAAUAGAAGAUAGGUGAACCAACCACUACUUUCUUUCCAUUUAAAUAAAAGUCAAUUGAUUACGUUUGUGUCUUUGUGCUGUUUUUUUUUUUUUUUUUUUUUUUUUUUUUUUUUUUUUUUUUUUUUUUUUUUUUAAGAAAUGAUAGUUGAUUCAUAUUCAUAAAAGGUCAAUACAGAGUAAAGCCAAUCAUGGUUUAGGAAAGUCCUCAAAGAGUAAGUCAAGGAUUAAAUCAGGUGGGGAUUCAACCCAAUUACAAACAUGAUUAGAUGAUAAACCAAAACAUGCUUGUCUAUGGGCCACUCCGUUGGCUUGACAACGUACAUAGGUAAAAUAGGCCUCAAUGAUUGACGAGAGCAUUGCUUUGACAUCCUCAAUGACCAAGAGUGGAAACAUUAGUAGAGGGAUCCCGCAACAAGUCUACAAUCUGAAGCGAGUCCGAUUCAAAUUGGCAUCUUUGAAAAACCCUAUUGGAUGCCCAAGUCAAAGCCAAAUGUGCAAUCAGAACUUUUGCCUCAAGGGGAGAGAAGACGUUAGUGACCUGCCAGCCAUAAGGUUAUCUAUGAAAACCCCUUCAAAGAAGCAGUUUGAUAUUUCGGCUAACACAAACCUCGCUCUUGUUAAGGUUGAUUUUCUGACUGGAGGCGAGUUCAUAUGCAGUGAAGGCAUUUGACAGAAUGAGACAUUCAGGUUCCUUGGCCCAGCAGAAAAAAAGGUUGUCGUCAACUAACAACAAAUGACUGAUAGGUGGGGCCCUGAUAGGAGCAUUUUUAUGCGACUUAAUUGGCUUGUUCUCAUGCAUUUAUGUUGUUUUUCCUUAGUUAGUUUAGUGUUUAAAGUCAUUUUCGUGCAAUUUCAGGUUUUAGUGUCAAAGUAUGCAAAAAGGAGCAUUUUGGAGCUUUUAGGAGCAAAAUUGGGCUUGGAAUGAAGUACAUAUGCAUGGAGCAAGGAGUUUGGACGAAUUUGAAGUCAAAACAUCAAAUAAACAUGCUAAAAAUCUGGUGCAAUAAAUACAAGUUGAAAGAAAGGAUAGGUUUCUAGAUGGAUUGACCAAAAGUCCACUCAAAACCAUGUUCACACCUAAAAUCCACAUCCUUGCCGUGAGUUUUUGGUGUUUUCACACUAGAAAAUUGAGUGAAUGAUUCAAGACCUAACCCACCAUUAUUCUACACAUCCUUGCCGUGAGUUUUGGUUGUUUUCACACUAGGAAAUUGAAUUAAACAAGUCCAUCCUCUCCCUAUAAAUACCUAUGGCAGCAACCUCAUUAAGACAUCCAGAAAUUAACCAUUCUCCAAGCCUUUCCUUGCCUCUCCUACAUAUCUAAACCCCUUCCCAUCCAUUCCUCCAAAUAACCAACCCUUCAACAUCAUUCCAACCUUGUUGUUGCGGCAAGGAGAAGGAGAAAAGUCCUUGGACGCGCUUGCUAUCCAACAUGGAUCGUUGGAACGUUUAGGUGCUUUCUUCCCUUUGUUUUUCAAUGGUUAAAUUUCUUUAUCUUUGUUUUGUAAUAAUGAGGAACUAAACCCCCCUUGGCUAGGGGGAUUCAAAACCAUGUUUAUGCUUGCUAUAUGAUUUGAUUACUUCCAAUUGCGUUUCUUGAAUUGUGAAUUCAAUUUACUUAUCCGUUCGUAUAAAAACUAAUUUGUGUAUGUUGGUUGAGAGUGCACGCUUAAUUUUCAUGCAUGAAUUUUGACGCUAGUAUAUAAGGGAGUUUCACCUAAUCGUUAUGAACUUAUAUUCACAAGUAGUGAAGGUUGCUAGUCACAAUCACGUUAAGUAAAUUCUUGGCAUAAGUUUCAUGCAAAUCAUAGUAACGAGUGCCUCGUCAAUGCUUAUGUUUUUCAUAGAACUUAAUGAUUCUUGCUUGUAUCUCUAUUAUGCAAUUCAUGUAGGGAACUUGUAGGGAAUGUUUUGGGUUGUCGUAUGCAAUCAUCCAAUCUAAUAACUUGUUGAAAAACUGAGAGUUAAUUAGUGCAAUUCACGGUUAAUUUGGGGCGUUGAGUAUUCAUAACUUAUCGAAGAGCAAUUGGAAAUCAUUUUGUAUGCAAGCAAGACAUGUGUGGAGAAGAACCCCUUAGCUAGCCUUCCAUUAUCCAUUCAACCCAAAUUUGUUUAAAAUCUAUUUAAGUUUUUAGUUUAUUCGUUUUUUACUUUCAACUUCACCAAACUCAAAUCCCCCUUUUACUUUCUUGUUUUAAAAUCUUUUGUUUACAUUUUUAACUUUGUUUCUUUUUGUUUUUGAGUCAGUUUAGAGGUUUUAGCAAGCCCUCCUAAUCCCCGGUUUAGAACGAUACCCUACUUACAUCUAUACUACAAUUGUCAAAAAGAGGGUUUAAUUUGUGUGUCAAGUAAAAUUGUCGCAUCAGGCCCUAGAGCACAAAGAAAUUUCGCGAAUCCUUCCCCUCCAAAUUGUUCACCAAAGCCAACAAGCCUUCCGUACACAAAAUGAAGAGAUAUGGAGAGAGGGGGGUCGCCUUAACGGAGGCCUUGAGACAGAUGGAGAUAGCCCCGAGGGCAUCCAUUAAUGAUGAAAGAGUAUGAGACGGAGGAUACACACGUCAUCAUCAAGUCAAUCUGCCAAUUAGAGAACCCCAAGUUUGGCAAGGAUACGUACUCCCACCCAAUACAAUCAUAUGUUUUAUUGAUAUCUAGCUUAAAAGACAGUAACCCAUUAUUGCCCCGCUGAUGCUUAAACAAAUAGUUAGAUAGCUCCGAGGCGAGAAUGGUAUUGUCAGAAAUGUUCUAUCCCAGCACGAAAACACUCUGAGUAGGGGAGAUGAUAUGGAUUAGUAUGGAUUUAAGCUGGUUUCCUAAUGAUUUGGAAGCAAUUUUGAAAAGGACGUUGCAUAGGCUGAUUGGUCGCAAUUGAGACAUAUCAUUAGGGUUCUUUUCUUUUGGGAUUAAUGAAACUCAGGUGAAAUUGACCAGCUUAAGUAAAUUGCCAGUGGAGAAGAAGGAAAGUAUAGUGGAAGUGGCAUCCUUGCCCAUAAUAUGCCAAAAGUGUUGGUGAAAGAAAAGGGUUUUUGUCUGGGGCCCAAAGUUUGAGGGCGCCAUUUGGAAUAAGGCCGCCUUAAUUUCCUCCGCAUUGAACACCAUCCAAGGCCCUAUUCAUAUUCGCAGAGACUUUAGGUUUAACUGGGUCAAGGGUUAAAUCUCUAUUACCUGAGCUUGUAGAAGAGAAUAGGUCACCAAAGUACUUGAGAACCAUGUUUUCGUUGGUCGGGCCCUCAUUUACCCAAUUUCCAGCCUUAUCUGUCAGGCCUUUGAUUAUAUUUUUAACCCUCCUAUUGUUUGCCCUCCUGUGGAAGAAGUUGGUGUUUCUAUCCCUAUUCAUGAAGCCAUAAAACACGAGAUUUUUGCCUCCAAAAGGAUUCCUCUAGGCCAAUCAGAAUAUCAAGUUGUCACAUGAGAAUGGCUUUUUCCUUGAUGACCAUAUCAUCAAGCGAUCAUGAGAGUAAGCUGCCCAAUUUGGCACGAACCUUAGUCAGUUCAUAUUGACGACCCCUAAAAACGAAUUGACACUAUUUUGAAAGGGCCACCCUAGUAACCUUUAUCUUUUGCACUACCUGGAACAUAGGAACACCAGCGAAGGAUUGAGCCCAGGCAGCACGAAUGACGUCCUUGCACCCAUAGUGUUUUGCCCAAAAUUCCUUUUCUCCAUGUUUGCCUCUUCACGGGAAACCCACAGACGUCUAGGAUAAGGAAAACAUGGUUAGAUUUGCUUGGGUAAAGGUGGGUAACUUUGGCAGAAUUAAAGAGAUCCUGGGCAGAAGCAAGAAACCGAUCCAAGUGUUCUUUAAUUCCACAAGCUCUGGUAGUGAUCCAAGUGUAAGGAUGGCUUGUGAACCCAAGAUCAUGCAAGUUGCAAUGUUAACUGCUUCCCAAAAAUUAGGGAUUUGAUUGAUGGGACGGGCAUGUCCAUCUUCCUUUUCAGUGGGUUGAAGUAGUUCGUUAAAGUCUCAUCCAAUAGCCCAAGGUAACAAAUUGACCAAAGCCAACGAUUUGAGGAGGUCUCAUGACAGGGGGCAAUCUUCCAUCGCCGAGUGGCCAUAGAAGCCAAUGAAUCUCCAAUGAAAAUCAUCGCCAAUUGCACCAAUUUUCGAAUCAAUGAAGUGAUCAGAAAAGCCCAGAACUCGCAUAUUGAUUUCAUUAUUCCACAAAAGCACAGGCCCCUAGAUUGCCCCCGCGAGGGUACACCAAAAAACCUGUCGAAUCCCAAUUUUAAUCUCAGAGAAUAGAGGGCCACAAUGUUAACCUUGGUUUCACACAAGAAUACCAAGGUGAGAUCUUGUUGCCGGAUUAAAUCUUGUAGUGCCUGAACUUUCCAGAGGUUCCCAAGCCCUCGACAGUUCUAGACUAAUGUUAUCAUGGCUGGAGGCGGGGAUGAAACCCGUCAGCCUCCACCGAUAGAACAUUAUAUGUCGCCAUUUUCCUUUCAAGUAAUCCAUUCUUCUCAGCCUCCACCAACUCUUUGGAUAGACUUAUAGCCACAUCGUAAAGGUUAAAUUCAUACCUGGGUUCAACAUCAGACAAAUAUUCCAAGCCAUUGAGAGGUUUUGGUGCCACAACCACCGCCCCAACCACCCCUUAUGGAGGUCCACGAGCAUUGCAGUUGGCCUUGGUCGGAGUGUCAUCACUUUAUGUGGUUUGGAUUACCCUUGCCCUUGUCGCAGGUGGAGUAUAUAGAAUGUGGCUUUCAUUCACUACGUCGGAUUGAUUGAUGAGCUGGGAUGCCAUUUAUUGGCAGAAGCAUCGAAAUCCCUGAGAUUCGUUUGGGGUGGGAAGUAGUCCAGUAACUUGAAGUUUGUUGGGUUCACACUAACUUCGUUCGAGGCCUGGAAAAGGCCUGUUGAAUUUUGGAAGGCCUAAGAAGGUAGGCGGUUAUGAUCAAGCUAGUAUUUUUUCAAGCGAAGGGACAUUGACAACGAUAGUAAGGGUCUCAUUGGAGAAUUGGGUCCCAAAGCUGUCUGGAUGCUACAUAUGGCCCAAUUCAGAAGUUAAGCGUGAUCGAGCAGUGGAGGAUUGCCCAGGAAGGAUUGGUGUAGGAUUGACCCUUGAUUCUGUGUUUGUGGGAAACCACGAUGUCAAAAAAAGUAGAGGACACAGAGCCUGCAGAUGGUACCGCAGGGGGUUUGUCCCCUGCAAUUCCAGAACCGUCGGUAAUUUCUUUAUCCUUUCUCAUCACCAGAAAAUGUGUUUGGACUAAAACUUGAUUUUUUGGCCCAAGGAUGGAGUCGGCCCAAAAGGAGGCCUAGAGGAAUAGAAGAUCAAGGCCCGGCCGAAACUUGGGAAAGCAGGAAAGGGCCUUUUCUGACUUGAUACAAUUCAUAAGGGCCACUUGCCUACCUACCCAAGGACCAAGUGGUGUAGACUAAUCAGACUGCACAGCCCAUAAAGUACUUUAUGGUGGCAUUACAUGUAAUAAAGCUGAUGAGUCAUCACCCUCAAGACCGCAUUCGGGCAAAGCUGUCGCUACAGGAGCCAAACCGAGUCGUCUAUAAAAGGAGGAAGAGAAGACAGGAAUAGAGACACUCAAUCAAACAAACAAAAGCACAAACUCUGCUCAAAAAGCCAGAUUUGCCUUUCAAAACGAAGCUGUAAUCAGCCCAAGCCUUCAUCCCCCGCGGGAUAAUCUUUUCUCCCAACCUCUGUAAUAGCUCUGCUACCUUGUUCGAACUUGUUGUAGUAUCGAUUCACCUUUUGUAUUCUCCUUUCCCCUCUCCCCCUCUAAGCUUUCAGACCUUUGACAGAACUACAAAAGGGACCUGCAAGACGAUCAGCCUUAAUUGAUAAGGUUUAAUCUUGCCCGACCUGCUUUGCUCUGUCUUUGUCUUCUCUUUCUUUAAAGUCUAGCAAUAUGUUGUAUAUUUCCAGUUAUAUGCAAGUUGUUUCUAGCAAAAUCACAAUGACAAAGCUUUCUCAGUACUUGGAUCCGAUUUGAAUAUAUCUUCAGUGUUUAAAUCAGAUCCAAGUCCUAAGCCCUCAGGCAUGUAAAUCUGAUUAGUUUAAAAGUCCUUGGCCUCAAGGCAUAAAAAAGAACUUUAUGUGGACUUAACCCAUCCACGACAAUCCUUGAUAAACGAGAAAUCCGAAGUUACUUGGGGCGCAAGUAAUCGACCUACCUCUUGGUUUUAUUUCUAUUAUAUCAUGAUUAUCAUAGAACGCUUAAGUAUGGAAUGGAUUCUGAUAGGAAGCCUCAAUGCCUACACCUAAGGCCCCACAAAGGCACUUAUUUGGAUUCAUUCUAUUCUGCGGUCUAGAUGGUUUGAGUAUAAGAACGGACUUUAAUGGGAAGCCUUAAGGCCUACACCUAAGGCCCCACAAAGCCACCUAUUUGGGUACGCUCUACCUCUCAGACUCGGAUAAUCAGAAAUAUAAUAGUUAUAAGACUCCGACAACCAUAAAGACCAAAUAUAUAUGCUCAAGUACUGGUUUAGUUUGACAGGAAGCCUCAAGGCCUACACCUAAGGCCCCACAAAGGCACCUGUUAUAUCUAACACGGUUUCUCAGGCAUAUGCAUAUUCAUAACUAAAACUUGACAUCCAUUCGACAUCUGCCAUGCUGAAGAUGGCAGUGGCACGCCUGAGCACUAAAAUGUUAACCUUGAUUGUGAGCCUUAAGGCCUACACCUAAGGCCCCACAAAGGCACCUCUCAAAGUUAACGAUGUCCUUCUCUUUUAGCCUUGCCCGAAGAGUCUUGCCCGACGAGACUUGCCCGACAAAGCCCGACAGCAGCCCUCAACCGGCGCCGAACCUCCAGGGGAGCUGUGUGCUCGUCGGCCAGGAAACAUCCCCGACGGGAAUUCCUACCACGAACAAAAUGAUUCAACAGAAUAUGCAUCUCGCCAUCUGACAGCCAUAAAAGUCGCCACUUCCAGUUUUACAGGUGUCGAAGUCCACGUGUAGUCGCAGGAAUCCACAUCUUCCACCUCUAACACCGACCCAAUUUUUUUCCCCCAAGGAUUGAGCAUUGGCCUUAGUGCGAAAAUUCCUCAGGAUGUCGUGGGCUUGGAUCUAGAAGAUAGCACGGUCAAGUUUGAUGUCAUCAAUCGAGUGGUAUAGGGGCCAAAGUUUAACCGAGAAAGUAAUCCUUCACAAACCAUAGGUUUCCUUCCAUAAGCUUUCUGGCUACCACCUCAUCCCCGACAGCAAUGAUAUAUUUGUUAUCCUUAGCUUUUGAGGACACGGACCACCCCCAUUUUGUUCCAGGCUGAUUGGAGGGUUUCCUUAACCACAUUCUGGGAGGGUUCAUGGUCGGCAAUGAGUUGUCCCACGAGAUGGAUGGAGCUGUCAAAGCGUUCCUCCAAGUCGAGGCUAUCUUCCAGAGUUAUAUUCAGAUAGUCAACAAUCUCAUCUUUAGUAGCCAUGGCCACCACAAGAAGAAGCCGUUGAAGGAGACAAGAUCCACAGGGGAUACAAAAAGGAGCUCACGCCAAUGGUGCCAGAGCUAGGGUGCCGGAGUGUCAGAGCUAAGGAGUCGUUGAACCAAGCUACUCUUGUACAUGACAAUGAGCUCUACAUAGUAAGCUAUUUAGAGUUUUGUUCCAGUUUUGAUUAUGCACAAUUUCAAUUUUAAACUUCAAAAAAUUUUGAAAUUGGUUUAGGGUUACUGAAAUUUUAAAAGCAAAAAAAAAAGACAUUCUGCAAUUAAAUGCAGAGACUGUUAGGUCUAAAAGAAUAAGAAAAUGGAGAGAGCAGCAUAACAUUACUACUACUAUACUAAGAACAACACGAAACUGGCUUUGGGUAAGAUUCCACUAUGUGUAUAAUCUCCUUCAAAAGUGAUUUUGGAAGAGAUAAUGUCAAAUUCAUAUCUGAAUAAGGAAAUAAUAUGCAUGUAUAAUGAAGUAGGGUUUGUUUCUAAUUUGGGGUAAUUGAUCGAUAUUUUGCCGAAAUUUUGUAGAAAUCUUGAUCUUGCUUCAAGGGGCCAAAUUAAUUUGUAGUUUAAACUCGAGAUUUUUUUUGGUUCAGAGAGUUUUACUUUUAUUCAUUGAAUUUUCUUUGCAUAAUUUUUUUGUUGUAAAAGUUUAAUGUUGUGUUGUUGUUCAUGAGGAAGAGGACUGAAACCCAGCUGCGUGAAGAAGGUAUGGUUUGUGACAGUUAGUUUUAAUUUUCCAAGCUUCCUAAAAGUUUUGGAGUAUCGUCUUUGGGAUGUUUGUGGAUCAAUUUUUUUUUUACACCUUGAAUUGAAUCGUAGCUUCUGAUGUUUGAAACUCUAGCACUUUUAGUUAGUUAAGGAAUAUUCAAUGUAGUUGACCGUCAAAAUUGGUUUUGUUGUCGUACUAUGAAUCUGCAUCAUUGAUUAAGUUUAUUUGUGUCUCGACCCUAUGUACAUGAUACAUUUUUUGUAGUCAUCUUUUGAUGUGGAUCAUAUAUUGUCGUUGUGAACUAUGCAAAAGAGGAGAGACUAAGGAGAGAAGCAGCAGAAUGGAUGGCAAAAUUAGGCAAGAUUGCUGAAAUACAGAGGCAAAAAGGGAGGAACUAGAAGAAUUAGUUGCGUACAAAAGCUCUUUUGAGGUUGUGCUUAAGAAACCAAAUUGUAAAUAGCCAUCAGGCCCACCGCAAUGUUGAAUAGUACAAACAAAUAUCUAAAGAUAAUGUUGAGUUUUGAUAUCGAAGUUAAACUUCUAAUGCAUUUUGUUUGCGCUGUGUGUAGAUGCAAAGGAAAAGGUGGAGGCUGACAAUUCAUCAGAUUAUAAGAUCGAGAAGAUAAGAAGAUAGUUGGGGAUACUAAUUUCAUACCAGCUGGUCGAAGUGGAGGGAAUUUGAGAUUCUAGAAGAUUCAGGAAGUUGACUAAUACAAUACCAAAUAGUAUUGUUGAUUACUAUUAAUUUUGCUUUAGAUUAGUCUCAGUUGUUGAUUAAUAUUAGUUUGGGGCUAAUUACAACCCACGUACGACUGAAGGCUUACUGAAACUAAGCAUGCUUGAUUGAAACUAUGGAUUGGAUAAUCUACCAUUUCGUUAUGGAACUUAGACCAAACUCUAUCCUUGACUAGAGAGGUGUAUGUGCCUAAUUUCUCCAACUAUGGCCAUAUGUAUAUAAAUCUAGCUUUUGUAGCAUCUCUAUCUUUUGAGCAUUCAGAACUUGAACGCUGUCAAUCUUUUGAUAACUAUGAACUUAUGCACAUAAAUCUACUUUUUUAGCAUCUCUAUCUUUUGAACAAUGCGUAAUUUAACGUGCCAAUCUUUUGAUAACUAUAGAUUUAUGUAUAUAAUUCUAGCUUCUAUAACCUGUAUCUCCUAUCUAUUUUCAAAACAUUUUAAACACCAACAACAUCGUGCGGGCUCUUUUGCUAGUUAUUUCUAUUCCAGCAUAAUUUCGUUUGUUUUUCUUCUUUAAUUGGCAAAUUUCCGUAUAGUUUUUCCCUUUGGGAACUACGUAGUGAAGGCUUCAAUUGGUUAGUUAAAAGCUCAGAUUAUUUGAAUAAAAACGUCUACAAAAAAUCUAAAUGAAAAAUGUUCAAACUAAUUUGAAUAACUUAAAGCAGCUUGUGCAGCCGGAGGUAAAUUCGAAUAAUUAACUAGCAGUUGAUUUUUGCAUGAAUAUUCACUGCUUGGCAACAGACGAAUAUUUUAUAUAACAAUAUAAUAAGUCAGUACUUCAUUAGAGAAUUACGCACCUGGGAUGGUGUUUGGAAAACAUUUAGGAUGAGGAAUGUCAGAACUAUAGCCUUUGCAGGUCAAUUUAUCGGGCAAUUCAUCGGGCCAAUUCACUCCAAGCUCAAAGCCAUACAUGAGUGCACUGUGUAUAUAUUCAUAAGAGGGCUUGUAGUACUUCAAAUGCAUCAAAGCAAUCCUCUCUGCUCUGCAACCCUCAUUCAAUUCCCCUACUUUCAUAUCGUUUGGGCCAACCUUGACAUAACUAUAAGAUUUUGGUUGAAUCAAAGAAGUGGCAGUACUAUUCAAGCAUGGAGCAGUAUCCACGUACAGAGAAGAAUUCACUGGGUUUCUACACCUCAAGUAAAAUAUUGAUGUUGAAAGUCGUAAAUUGGUGGUGGGAUUAUACGAACGAUAUGGAUCUCUUAGUGAAUAAGGGCCGGGAGGCAAAUUUCGAGGCAUGGAAGAGCAAUUGUUGUUGUCAAGGCCAGGAUCUAGAAGUCGGAGUAUUUUGUUAUUGUAGUUGAUUGUCUGUACGUAGUAUUUACCAGAAUAAGGUAUAUCACCAUAAUAAGGUAGAUCUAGUAUUGUAAUGUUGUUCUCACAGGAAAGAGUAUACAGAAUGUGGCCGCAGUGCUUUGGAUCAUGUUUUAGUCGAAAAGGGUAGCUUAUGUUGCGAAUAUUGCCGCAGGAGGAGGUACAGUUUGUACUAUCAUCCUUAGCGUUACAAGUUUCACUGCAAAAGCAAAGAAGAAAGGCUAAAAUAAAGGUCAAGGACCUGCUUCCACUAAUUUCCAUUGGAGAGAGAGGGGGAGAGAGAGAGAGAGGUGUACUGGUAAACACCAAGUAGUUAAAUAAUAUAGGAGAGAGAACCUUCUGGGAAGUUGCAGUAAGCACUUCAAAUAUCCAAGAGAAAAGUCAGUCAAUGGCAGAGACCGACUUGUGUAAUAAUAAUGAUCUCUCUCUAUCUCUCUGUGAGGUGUACUAGUAAACACCAAGUUGUUAUAUAAUAUAGGAGAGAGAGGUGUACAAGUAAACACGAAGGGGAGGGGUUAAAGCACCUUCUGGGAAGGUGCAGUAAGCACUUCAAAUAUCCAAAAGAAAAGUCAGUCAAUGGCAAAGACCGACUUGUGUAAUAAUAAUGAUCUCUCUCUCUCUCUCUUUCUUUAAUGGAGAACAGAGUAUAAUUAGUACAUAUUAUAUCUCUUCUUAAUUACACAAAAGAAAAUUGGGGUUUUUGAACUUAAUCUUUGAAGAAGAUUAAAGUUUAAUAAAAAUCUGAUGUUAAAUUGGAUAUUGAUUUUGAUCCUUUAAUAUUUACUUAAUUCAAAUUCAUAUUAUAUUUUUGUUUUAAUAUUUAAUAGAUGUCUUAUUUUAUUUGAUGAGAUCUUAAAUUCGAUUCUCGCUAAAGGUAAAUUUGAACCAUAUUAUUGUAAGUUUAUUGCCCAUCCCUUCCCCUUAGUGUAGAUAAUAUCAAUUGUUCAAAAAAAAAACAGAGAUGUCUUUUUUUUUUUUUGGAGAAAUUAGGUUCUCAUCCUUCAUUUUGCUACUCCAUUGAUUAAAUUCAUAUUCAUUUUCAAUUUUUGAUCAAGGUCCUUGGGUAUUAAUAACAUCAUUAAUUAUUUCAAUAAUAAAAUAUUUUUUUAUUUCUAAAUAUAUUCAUUUAAUGUUAAAAAUGUUACAAUUAGUAUAUUUAUAUUUAUGACUAAAUUUUUUAUUAUAUAUUUUUAGUUUUAAUUUGUACCCAUUUUUAAGUUGUAAUUCUUUUUUAAUUUGUACCAAUUUUCUUUUCAGUUUUAAUUUGUACCCAUAUAUUAAUUUCUUUUUGUGCCCAUAUUUUUAAGUUUAUUUGUAUUUGUACCCAAAUAUUUUUUUUAUUUGUACUUUUUAUUUUGCUAAAUGUACCCAUGCUAAUUAUAUGUACCCAUUCAUGUAAUUUAAUCUUAAAAUGUACUCAUUCUUAAGUAUACCAAUUUGUUAUAUGUAAAAUGUACCAUUUUUUUUAUAUAAAAUCUAUUCAAUUUUUUUUCUAAUCCAUUUUUAAACUUAUAUGGGUACAUUCUUUUUUUUUUAUGAUUUUAAAAUGUAUCCAUGUCAAGUUUAAUCGAAGAAAUUUACUAAUGUUAUUAAGCCUAAUAUAUAUAUAUAUAUUGUGAUUUUGAAAAAUGUACCCUUGUUUUGAUACAAUAAUUUUUUUGGUUAAUUUUGAUGAAUGUACCCAUGUUUAUAUAUAUACACACACAAUAGUAUAUUUAUAUUUUAAUAUUUUUAAUCCCACAAAUUAUUGUUUUUUAUUUAAAAUCUCAAUUCUAUAAACAACUAAAAUUUCUAAUUUUUAAUUUAAAAAAUAUAGUAACGUACAUAGAAAUAAAUUAUUACAUUAAUUUCAGAGACCUCGAUCAAAAAUUAAAAACCAACAAGGUUUCAAUCAAAGAAUAUUCAUAGCUAAGGACCGCAUCCAAAGUCUCCCUUUUUUUUUUAAAUAAGGUACGAUAUUCAUUAAAUAGAAUGGAGCGUACAAAUAGAAGGAUAGCAGUGUAUACAUGGGUCUGGAUAAAAAUCUCAUCGGGACUUUCAACUCGAUCUAAAGAAAAAAGAGUGUUUCGUACCUAACAAUCAACUAAGAGUUUUCUCUCUUCACGUAGCAAAUCAACAGUACAAUUAAAUAGACAUAUCUUCAAAAAGUGCAUCCAUGAUUAAACCUAGAGGUUCCCCAUGCCAUCUUAACUCUUGGCUCGAAUUAAUCCCCAUGUCAUUACAUUAAAUUUUAAAUUUAUUAUUAUACAUUUUAAUUCAUUAAUUUUAUUUGCUUCCUUUAACUAUUGUAUGUCACAUCCCGGCCCGAGACGAACCACAUCCCGGGUCCGUUCGACCACCGUAGCACGAUAUUGUACUAUUCCCUCACGGUUUUGUUUUUUGAAAACUCACGAGCAACUUCCCAGUUGGUCACCCAUCCUGGGAGUGCUCUGGCCUCCUUCUCGCUUAACUUCGGAGUUCCUACAGAACCCGAAGCCAAUGAACUCCCCAAAGGCCUCGUGCUAGGUAGGGAUGAGAAUAUACAUUUAAAGAUCACUCCCCUGGGUGAUGUGAGAUGUUACAAUCCACCCCCCCUUAGGGGCCCGACGUCCUCGUCGGCACACUUCCGGCCAGGGAUUGGCUCUGAUACCAUUCUGUCACAUCCCAGCCCGGGGCGGACCACAUCCCAGGUCCAUUCCACCACCGUAGCACGAUAUUGUCCGCUUUGGGUUUACCAUUCCCUCACGGUUUUGUUUUUUGGAACUCACGAGCAACUUCCCAGUGGGUCACCCAUCAUGGGAGUGCUCUGGCCUCUUUCUUGCUUAACUUCGGAGUUCCUACGGAACCCGAAGCCAAUGAGCUCCCAAAAAGCCUUGUGCUAGGUAGGGAUGAGAAUAUACAUUUAAGGAUCACUCGCCUGGGCGAUGUGGGAUGUUACAUUGUACCUAAACAUCUGUAUCAUAAUAUAUUUUAUUAAACUAGCGUACCGAAAUGCCUGUACCUAAAUAUAUUGUAAUGAAUCAGUGGCACAUAAGAAAAUAUGCAAAAACAUAAGUGUACUAAAAAUUCUGUACCUAAAUAUAUGAUCCUAACUAGUGUACCGAAAUGUUGGUAUCUAAAUAUAUUAUACUAAACUAGUGUGCCGAAAUGUUCGUACCUAAACAUAUUAUAUUAACCUAGUGUACUGAAACAUUUGUACCUAAAUAUAUUGUAAUGAAUUAGUGGCACAUAAAAAAAUAUGCAAAAAUUGUACAGAAAAAUCUCAACAGAAAUAUUUUUUACAUAAGAUACUUAACAUAAUGAGAAUUAAAAUGUCAUGCCCCGAUCCCGACAUACAUCCAGGAUCGACACGUGACGUUACUAAAUACCCAUAUCUCAACAUACCCCGUCUCUAGAAUAUGGCAAAUCACAACUCGAGAAUCGAAUCGCAUAGUCAUUUUUCUGUAUACUUUAUGGCUGCAUCUAACCUCCCCGAUAGACUGCCUACGUAUCCUUAUUAGGGAUCAAAUCAUUCGUAGUUUGUCCUUUCGCUACACUUGAACAUUCAUCAUAUAAACCACUGUAUCUCAAUAUAAUACCACAAUUCAAUUAUGUAGCACCUCAAGGAGCAUUUAACAAGGCAUAAUAUUAAUCUCUAUUCAUAUCAUCACUUAUCCACACAUAUGCAUUCCAACACCAUCCAAUUAUCACAUUAAUCAAUAAUGCCAAUCACCAUAUCAUCAAUAACACAUACAAUUCAUCGAACUGCAGGGCUAGAGCGACAUGAUUCAGCCAAAGCCUACAUCUCUGAAACUGUCUCAAAUGAAUCAAAUGAUGCGAUUUCGAACCACUCAACGAAAUCCAUCAACAUCGGGUUUCGGACCUCUCAACGGAACCAAGACACCAAAGGGGAUUCCGGACCAUCACUCAACGGAAUCGCAGAGUAGAAGGGAUUCCGGACCAUCACUCAGAAUCGCGAAGUAUAAGGGAUUCCGGACCAUCACUCAACGGAAUCGCGGAGUAGAAGGGAUUCCAGACCAUCACUCAACGGAAUCGUGGAGUGGAAUGUAUAACAUCAGUCGAUGAAAUAAGACAUGGACCGAGUUACCCAAGUUACAAAGACUCAACGAAAUGAGAAAUGAAAUAAUGACACGAGGGUGAAACACAUUUCAAGCAACAAACCCCAUGACAAUGGGUUAGCGGCCCACUACUAGCCCUCACAUUUCAUCACAUCCAUCCAAUCAUACAAUACAACCCAUAUUUCCAAUGCACAAGUCAAAUCAUACUUAAUGAAAAUAGAUUGAUGGCCAGAAACAAAAAUAACAGUUCAAUAGAUUUCACAUUUAAUAAACAUAGAUCUAUGGCAUAAAUAUAUAGAAUUCACAUUUCAAUAGAAAUCACCUUUAUAAGGCCAAGGCAUAAUCACAUAUGAUACUAAUAUAAAAAUCAAGGUAAUAGCUAUAUCACAUAUACACAAGUCAUUCUCUAACCAAUGUAGACUGACUAGACUUCGCUUAAUCUUCCAUAGUACUAAUUUUAGUAAUUAGGAUGUUUCAUGACAUGUUGACCAAAAGUCAACUCUCGAUCAACAAUAGGGUCCACAAACUUACGUAGUUUGAUCUGGAAGAUCCGCACCUUGGAUUUCCGAUCUGUAACUUUCCAAAGUCCACAUUAUGCUCAAAUAACUACAUACUAAAAUCUCAACAAGAUCCGACGGUUGGAUCUCCGCCAAUUUCAAAAUUCAAGUGGCGGUCGACAUUUAAUUUUACAAACUUAGAAAUCCAAAUAUGGAAGAUCCAUAUGUCAGAUUCCCAAUCUGUAAAUUUCUAUGAUCCUCAAAUAUUACGUAUUACAACAUAUCAAAGUUUGGUGACGAUCCAACGGUCGGAUAGUCGAUUCUUAUUUUCACCUAACCACGUAUCAUAAUAAAAUUAGGUUCAAUUGCUCAAUCUACGUCAUUCGAUUAUCAAAACUGAAUUUAAGACAACAAACAUAGCCUAAAAAUAACAUUGAUGGCCCACUAGCUACAUGUCGCCGCACGUGCCGCCGUGGGUGGCGGUCGACCGCCCCGACUUGCUAGAAAAUUCAACUAUUUUUAAAAAUUACCAAAAUUUAUAGAAAUGAAGAUCUCAAUGAGUAGAACAAGUUUUAUACCUGUGUCGAAGUCCAAUUUGGCCAGGAAAAGCUCCAAUUUUACUAAAACCCGCCGGAACCCUAGAAAUUGGGUAUAGUUUAAUUCAACGUCAAACUCAACUCCGCCACCUCCAAUGUUGAUUGGGGUUUGUUCCUGGAAUCAAGAGGAGUUGAAUAAGGGUGGUGGCCGUCGUCGGUGUUUGCAGAAUCAGCGGAAUUGCCGCGGUGGAGUAUGAGGACCAACGUGGUUGUUCUUCGCGAAAUCAUGCCCAAAUCAUCUCGAUUUUGGUGGAAUAGUGUAGAUGGGAGGUCACUGAGUUGAUUUAUGGUGGUGGAUGGCUGCAAUUUGCCGGAAAAAUCAAGAGAAACCGUCGAAAAAUUUGUAGGUAACUGGGUCAGGUCGAAAAUGGGGGACCGGUAAAGGGAUCCGGUGUCCCUCCCCUCUCCUCAUUUUUCCUCCUUUCCCCUUCUCCCAUUCGUCCCUUCUUCCUCUCUCCUCCCUUCCGAUUGGCUAACCCUCUUUCUUCCCUCCUGAAACUCUUCUCCUGCUCUCUCCCCUGCUGCCCUCUAGCAGCUCUAUUUAUUAUUAUUUUUUAUUAUUUUUUUUCUUUUUUUUCCUCUUGUUUUCUUCUUUCCUCCCCCAUUUCUAAUUAGUCCCUUUUCCUACCAUGUGGGAGUUUUACAAAUAAAUUAAAAUCUAUAGUUUAGUAACACAACUUCAAAUAUCCAUAACUAUACCAUUAAAACCUGGACUCGCAAACGGCUUUCGCCUAUGCGUUCGUGAUCUUGAAAUCUAUUCAACAAUAUAAAUUGUGACCUCAAAAGGUCUACGGAUUUUAACUAAUUAAUUUCCAAACUUCAAACUUCGUAACUAAAUUAAUUAAAAUCUAAAUUCAGACAAUUAAAAUAAAUUGUCCAAAAAAAUAAUAUAAAUCUCAAUAAUACAAAUACGUAGAUUAUAAAAGUGAAAUCCAAGAACAGGAUUUCACAUAAAAUUUAAUUUAUGAACACCAUAAAAUUUUAAUAAAAAAGAGAGACAUUGAAUACAUAUGAUGGCAUUAAACAGAGUCUAGGGACUAAAAUCAGUUUUUAAUCUUGUAUAAAACAUUUUUCUAAACUUCAUUUUAUUUAGGGAAAAUUAGAAUCCCCUACAGUUUUUUUUUUUUAUAUCAUUUAGAUUAAACAUCUGUGCCUUUUUAAAAUUUGAUUAAAGUGUUUUGACCAAUAACCAUCUCAAGCUAAAUUACAUGUCAUUAUUAUAUUUUUUAAAAUUAAAAUAAUUUUUUAAUUUAUCCUUUUCGCAUGAUGCACUUUGCCUUAUUUAGUGGAGAUAUUAGUAAUUAAACUAUAUUUUCUCUUAUUCCAAAUAUGUUUUUUCGAUCACAAUUUUUUUUUCUUUUUUUUUGGUUAUGCAAACAUUUAAUAUUUUUUUUUUUCAAAUGGUUUUUUUUUUUUUCAAAUAGUUGGUGAUCAACAUAAAAGCUCCGUGUAAUUUUUUCAAUUUUUUGUGAUUUUUUUUGUGCUGUUUUUUUUAAGUAUAGUUGUUGACGAAUUAUUAUUAGGUACAAUACAUUACGUAUAUAUUAUCUGCGAGUACGUUUGAAUUUACAAAAAUCAUUAAUUGGUACGUUUAUUUGUAAUUUUGGUACAUUUGAUUUGAUACAUAUUGUUAAUAUUGGUACAUUAUUUUUAUUUUGGUACGUUUUAUUUUGUACACAUUGUGUAUUGGUACAUUUAUUGACACACCCUGACCUAAAUCAAGGCAUGCUGACCGUCAAUCGAGAGUGACGUAACUAAUUUAGUACUAAAGAUAUAAAAACGUGAAUAAAUAAAAACCAACCUAGCUAGCUAACUAACUAAUUUACACUAGAUAAGAUAUAAAUGCGAGUGACAAGAUUUAAGCGUAAUUACACAUAAUUAGAGCAUAGCUAACCCAAGUGCAAUCCAGCAUGACAAAUACUAAUUAUACAAUACCAGAGAGAUGGUCCUACAUUAAUUACAGUCUGUCAAAACCGCCGCUAACUCCUCGUAAGCCACCAACAAGCACUCCUACCUAGAACCUGGUGGGGCGCAAAACAAAAAGUGUGAGUGGGCAAAAACAAAGCUUUUCCAAACCAUUUCACUUAUCAAAAGUACUAACCCCUCAUCGUAAAACCCGUAUAAUUUCCCAGAAAAUAAGAUACAUAUCUAUAUCAAACCAUAUUCGGAAUAGCAAAAUCUCCAUGUAUGCCAUGCCAAGUAUCUCAACAUAAAGAAAUAAGUAAACCAGGUGAAGAAAAUUAAUAAAAAGUAAUAGGUCAGCCGGAUCCACCUAUUGUGGCCUAUACGGCUGAACCUAUAACUCAUCAACUAUCCCUGCACACGAGUCGGAACCACCUAUAGUGGUCGGUACGACCAAACUAGGUGUAAAUAAGUACGCUCAAGUGCUACGAUCACGUGAAGACUGUGCGAAUAAUCGCGGGUCACCUACAAGUCGGAACCACCUAUUGUGGUCUGUACGACAAGACUGUGCACCAAACUUGGAUCCAAGGUGAGUGUGCGGUGCGAGAGGUGAACACCACGUGAAUGACUGUGCUCUGGCCACGAGCGGGAGCACUAACACCGGGAUGCAGGUUAAUGAGCUCUAAAUACAUCUAUGUACCACCAUCAUAAUGCAACUCACAAUCAUCAAUACAUAUACUCACCUGAAACUUACCUAAGCAUCCGCAACGUCAAAUACUAGCAUGCCACAUUACUAAUGUAUAUUCUAAAAUAUAAAGCAUUUGACAUGGCAUUAAAAACACAAAAUCAAUUAAAUCAAUUUUUAUGGGAAAAACAUAAUGCAUAUAUAUACAUAUAAUGAAAACCAAAAACCCACUUACUGAUAUGUGGUAAGGUCGUAACCCCCGAGCCUCGCCUGACUGCGCUCGUCCUCUGGAAACGUCUCACCUAUAUGUGAAACAACUAUUUUAACGUUAUUUUAAGCACAUAACCAAAACUAUGAAAUAACUUCUCAUACGUUGCUCAAUUGGGGUGUGUGAAUAUACCAUCAAGGCCUACACAACCCCACGAUCAUCCCCAUAUUUUUAGAAAAAAUUUCCGAUGUCCCACGCGCCCUCACGCGCCGGCCAAGGCACGACCAUGCGCAAGCACGUGCCUGGCACACGGACGGAACCUUUAACGCCGUUAAAGAAUAUUCCGUUAAAUAAUGGAAUAUACCGUUAAAUAUACUUGACGCCGUUAGGUAUAUUCCAUCAAACUUGAUGGAAUAUUCGCCUUCUCUUUCCUUGAUUCGCCGGAGUCCGGCGGCAGUCACUGCUGCACUCGCCGGAAACUGGAAAACUGGAAAACUGAAAAACUUCAAUAUCUCUUCCAUUUCAACACCAAAAUUCAUGAAAUUUGUACCAAAAUGAAGUUCUCAACUAGGAGAACAUGAUCUUACCACUUUUAGAGUCCCUAAACCAACGGAAAUUGGCCAGAAAAAUUUCGUGAAAACCGGCUAAGUCUGCAACUCAAAGAACUCGAGUGUCCCGACGUCCAAAACCUUCCAAAAUUCCUAUAACAACUUCGUAAAGCUGUUUUAAGACUCUCUAGUACCUUAAAACCCCGCGUAACACUCGCGACCAAGCUCGAGCAACAGGACACUUUGUUAGAGCUCACAGGUUCUCGAGUUCCCAAAGUCCUUACGUCCAACUAAGGGUAUAGCUCGACUCCUGAGCUUACAAGGAACUUGGAAAUGGCCUCCACUAUGUCGAUUUGUGCAAGAUGAAACUAGUUGGGUGUGUGUGUGUACAGACUGUACGGACGGAAAGAGGUUUCGAGAAAGAGGGUGACAGAUGCAAGUUGCACGUGUGUGUGUGUGUGUGUGUGUGUGUGUGUGUGUGUGUGUGUGUGUGUGUGUGUGUGUGUGUGUGUGUGUGUGUGUGUGUGUGUGUGUGUGUGUGUCUUGAUCCAGAUUAGGCACCCAUAUACAAUCCUAAAACUCUAAUUGGGCCACCAGUUAUAAGCUAAAAAAAAAAACCAUCCAAAACAACCCCAUAUUUCAAUUGGGUCCAAAGAAGUAGGAAAUGAAAUAAUUGGUCCAUUUUUCUUAGCCCAUAAAUACAUUCACAACCCAACGCUCAAGGGUAAAACCGUCAUUUCCACGCUUUCGAGAAUCAAAUAUAUAUUAAUUCGGGACACGUCGUCACAUUUAUAUUAUUCUCAAUCCUAUUUUCUCUCAACGCAAAAGAAAAACUUAUUUCAGUACGUUUGAUUUUGUGGGAUUUAAAAAUAUUUUAAACUAUUUUGGAAAGAAAAUAUCUUAAAUCGUAGAUAAUUAUUGCUAAAUUGUAGCAUUAUUGUGAAAAUAAAUUGAAUCUAACCAAUUUUUUUUUUUUUUUUUACAAUUAUCUCUAACGGAGGAGAGUGUAAUUAAAAAGCUAGAUUAUAGGAAAUUUGUUACAAUAUAAUAUGCAUAUAGCACCAAAAUUAUGACCAAAAAAAGUUUAAUCAAAUCACUAAAAGACAUGAAUGUUUGAUCUAAAAAAUUCAGAACUGAGACGCCUAUAUCAAAUGAUCUCUAUUUAUUUAAUGAUUAAAAUCUAGUUUUCUAUAAUAUUAACAUUGAACGUAUAAUCCUUCAAACGUAAAUUAAGGGACUUUGUUUCCGGUUCUUGUUUUGACUUUCUAUUUUUUGGGGUUACCGUAGAAGGAUGUAGCAACCCCACCCCAAGUUUUUUUCUUGAAUCUUUUGACACUCCGCCAAACUUCUCUUGGAAUUUUAAUUAGAUGAAACAAUAUGAAUCUUGAACAAAGCAAAAGCAAAACGUAAUACGUAGAGAUUGAAUCAUUGUAGUGGAAGUGGAUGCUGGGUACUCAACACUCAUAGGAAAUCAUAAGUCCAAGAAUGAAAACUCUCUUAUCGGUUUCUAUCUAAAAUUUUGGAAUUAUGUGUGUGUUGCAACGAUUGUCCAGGAUUAAUCUUUAUCUAUUAAAUUUCAAAGGAAAAUAAGCUUGGGGUGUAAAUGUUGAACGAAUGAAUUUUCGACGAGUUGGAAAGGGAUUGUGCCUUUAACACGCUAUUUUUCUUCCUCUUAUGCACUCAUGGUUAUUAAAAGACAAAUAAGUAUGACUUUACAUAAAGAAAGAGAGAGAAUAUUUUCCUUUGAAUAAAUCAACUAUUUGUUUAAGAAGAUGUGGAUGCUGAUUGAAGCGUCAUGCAAAUACGAAGAACGACCUUGGAGGGAGAUGAGACAUUCAUUAAAAGCCAAGAAAAAAGCCGCAUUUUCUAAGUGAUAGUUAUUGACACGAUACUUGAUUAGGAGAAAAGUCAGUAGUAUUUUGUUUUAGUGGGAACGAGAGUGCGAGGUCUCAAUUAGAACAUGAGAUGAAGUUUCUACAUAACCGUAUAUGACAAAGAAAGAAGUCUAUGUUUCUAACUGGUGGGGCUUUUAAUUGAUGUGAGUUUGUUGAGAAAUGAAGAUGAACAUGUAUACUGACAUUGAUGUGAGUUAGUGAACCAGAUGCACAGAACCGUUCAGACCGGUUUCAGUCUCUGUUUUCAUCUUGAUAGAACGGCUCAGAACCAAAUCAAACUGUGAAUAUAAAUAAUUUAUGAAAAACAAAAAAUUAAUAAAAAUAACACAAUUGGCAACCUGAUUCCCACUGCAGCUCUAAAAUCAUCCUCCAUGAUCGCUGUAUGUACUUUUGUAAAUCGAAUGCAUAGUUGUUUGUGGACAGAUGAGUCUGCAAAAUUUGUGAAAACAUGCUUCAGAUAUAAACUACUGAAAUGUGAUUCAUGACAACCCCACACACACACACACACACACACAUAUAUAUAUAUAUAUAUAUGUUAACAUCAAAUUUUAUAAUUAUAAUAACUGUUUGGGUUAAAACUUAAAAUUUGGGCUCAAGUGGAAGUCAGCCCAAAGGGAAGUCUGGAAGGAAGAAAACCCAAGGUCCAGCCGAAGCCCAGAAGAUGGAAGAAGCCCUUUUUCAGCUAGGUGCAGACCACUUGAGCCACUUGCUCACCUACUCAAAGAACAAGUGGUGUAGAUCAACUAGCUAAUCAGCCCAAAAGUACUUUACAAUGGCAGUACAAGUAAAAAGCUGGUGAGUCACUACCCUUCAGUCACAUUCGAGCAAGAGCAAAGCUACAGUCAAUCGAGCCAAAUUGUCUAUAAAAUAAGAAAGAGAAAUUAGAAAUGAAGACACUCAAUCAAUCAAACAAACAAUCUUACAACUUGUUUAUCUCAGUCAAGCCAAGAAACCCACAAAGUUGUGCUUUGUCCAGAGUCUACACUCUUUUCAGCUUUAAGCUCCCUGUAGAACAGACAACCUUUGUCUUUAUAAAAGCUCUGCUACCUUGUCUAAAUCUUGAUGUAGUAUCGAUUCCCUCCUAUAAACUUCUCUACCAAUCUUCCCCUUCCAGCACCCAAACACUUUGUAACCACAAAGAGAGGAAGCUGCAAGACGAUCAACCUUGCCCGACCCUCUUUGUUCUGUCUGUUAAUUCAUAGAUCUAGCAGUAUGAUGUAUAAUUCAAUAUAUAUCCAAGUUAUUUAUAGUCAGUUUGUGAUUAAAAGAUCUCUUGGUUCUCGAAUCUGGUCUGAUUAAUGGUUUUAACCAUUACAAAAGAUAAGUAAAGGUUUGAGCUCAUAGCUUGAUCAAAUCUAAGUUCCAACCUUUCAAGCAUAUAAGAUUGAUCAACCAAAAGUCCUUGGUCUCAAGGCAUAAAAAAGAACUUAAUGUGGACUUAACCCAUCCACGACAAUCUUUGAUAACGAGAAGUCCGAGUUACUUGGGGCACAAGUAAUCGACCCAUUUCUUAGUUUUACAUCUGUUAUACUAUGAUCGCUAUAGAAUGCUUGAGUAUGGAAUUAAUUCUGAUGGUGAGCCUCAAGGCCUACACCUAAGGCCCCAUAAAGGCACCUAUCAGGGUUCGUUCUGCUCUUUGGGCCCGGGUGAUUAAAGUAAAAAUAGUUGUAAUACUUCCACAACAAUGAAACACCAGCUACAUGCCAGAGUACUUGGUCGGUUUUGAUUGUAAGCCUCAAGGCCUACAUCUAAGGCCUCACAAAGGCACCUCUCAGAACUGACUUGGUCCCUCGAGCAUAAGCAAUUAACCUAAACACUUGUUUUACAUUUGUCAUGCUAAAGAUGGCAGUGGCACGCCUGAGUACUUAGUUAGUUUUGAUUGUGAGCCUCAAGGCCUACACCUAAGGCCCCACAAAGGCACCUUUCAGAAUUAACUCUGUCAUUCUCUUACAGCCCGCCAAUAACCAAAAGGCCGACAUACAAUAUCAACCGGCACCAACCUCUCGAAGAGUUGUGUGCUCGUCGGCCAGAGAGCAUCUCCAGCAGAAAUUCCUGCCCGAACAUAGUUUUGGCACUUCUGGUAGGAUCAUCUUUGAUCAAUCUUACUUGCCAAGACAUGGCAAAUAUCCCUACAAAUUUACAAAGGUCAACUGUCCCAAAAAGAACAACUAAUGAAGAUUUGCAGACUACUUUGUUGCAAAUGUUACAAAGAAUGGAGAACGCCUCCAGAGGGUUCAGAGAAGAAGCAGGCCAGCUCCAUGCUUUGACAGAAGAUUCACAAGAAAAGCCCGAUCUUGUGGGUGCUAUUCCAAACAGUUGCACCAAGGUGUUGAAGAGAAAAGCAAACCUAGCUAUGGAACCAACUAUUCUCAUAUCUUUGCCUCUACUUGAGGAGAAAGGUGGUAGGGAAGAAAAGAGAGAUAAGAUCGAGGCCAGCCAGCCGGAGGUGGAGGUAACAUUGGUAAACAAUCCACCUAGCCCAUCGCUAUUCAUACAAGAUAGUCGGGGGCAGGUCAAAGCAAAAGUGGACAAGCAUGUAGAUCCCCUUUCUGAGGUCCCAGUAAUUAUGAUAAAUUUAACAUGGGCCGAGAAGGGAAAAGGGAAGGCUACAGAAGAAAGAAUGCUGGCCGACAGAUCUACAGAAGGGGUUAUCAAAUUGCCCAAAAAACCAAAAGCGGCCAUAAUCAAAGGGAUGGUCAUGUGUGGUAGAUGUCAAUGCAAGUGUGAACUCAAGAUACCACCAACAGGAGUUAUCAUAGAUCAUAAGUUGAUCAGAAGGAAAGAAAAAGAAAGGCAAGAAGCCCGCGAGAAAGUUAUGCGGGCAGCAGAAAGAGAUACUUCCCAGUGUGUUUUCCAAAGGUUGGAAGGAGAUUCCCAACCUAGGGGUUUAUCGGAGGUGUUUCAAAAUCAUGAAGCCUCUGAGGAAGCAGAAGACAAGGAGGCAAAAAUGCCAAAAUGGAAGGAUAUAAGGCCUCCUCAAUAUGGCCACAUGGGAGGAGAGAUCAGAAGAAAUAAUAGGAUAACAAAUCCUGCCAAAAAAGAAAAUCCUGCCCGCCUCGGCCGAAAGUGGUAUGUGGUUGAGAAAAAUGGACAGCCCGUCAAGAAAAUGGGAGCCUCCAUGGUUAGAAGGGUCUGGAGACAACACAAGGCUUACAUGAAUUCUUUACAGACUCCCGCAACGUCUGAAGACUCUAAGAAUGAAAAGUUUGAAAAAACAUCAUCCAGGGGAAAAAGUCAGUUCCAUUGGAGGAGUAAAAAAGAAGUGGAGAUGGCCAAUAGCAAGACGGAAGGCGAAGGAAACCACGUACCACAAAGCCCACACCCUGGGAAGUACAUAAUCUUGAGGAGAGCUCAAGAAGAUAUGAUGAUGAUGCCAACACCCAGAUGGAGGACAUAACUUAUUUGUUUUGGAACUGUCUCUCCCGAAAUGAGAGUCCCCUCACCAUUGUUGGUGGAUCCUUUUGGCGAAGUUCUGAGGCAAAUACUAGACUUUGGCAUAGAUCAGCAUGAGGGGCACCAGAACUAAUGCUCCUAUGAGAUGCACUGGCCUGGUUGGAUGAAUUCAUGGACCGCAUUAGGAGCAAGAAAGAAGACUUACCGGAACCCAGCAAUUUUCAUAUAAACAUGACAUAUGUUUUAUCAGCCAUGUUUGGUGCCGAGCCUAAUCAGCCCGCCAUGAUGGAGGGUGAUUAUUUGGCAGCAGAGCCAAUGAUGGCCCAUGUCAGUGUGGAAGUUGCUGAAGAAGGAGAGUCAGGAAAAGCUGAGUUGUUCGAGGCAUCCAAAAAUAAACCAAUGAGGAUCUAUACGGACAGAAUGGUGUUCAGCCGCCUAAACUUGAUGUUAGCCAAUCAUCUUAAGCCUAUAUACGUCACGGCUCAUUUGGAAUGAGUGUCUUUCAAAAGGGUUUUGAUUGAUGGUGGGGCAGCUGUCAACUUAUUGCCAGCCAAACAGAUGAAGAAGUUGGGAAGAAGGGUAGAAGAUCUCAUUCCCAUGGACCUAACAAUUUCAAGCUUCUCGAAAGCCAUCACCAUAACCCAUGAGAUAUUGCCCUUAGAAAUAGACUUGGGGUCUAAACAAAUUAUGCUGGCAUUCUUUGUGGUGGAUUGCACUUCCACCUAUGGAGCAUUACUUGGAAGAGAUUGGAUCCACCAAAGUCUCGCCAUACUUUCCACCCUACAUCAACAAAUUGUUGUUAACCACGAAGAAGGGACGGGAGAACCAGGUUUUUGGGAGAUGGUGGAGGCCGAAUCACAGACAUUUCUUCCUAUAGCCAAUGUUGCGGAGGCUAGUUUCUACAAUCCCAACGUAGGAAUUCUACAAUGUUCAGGAGUAGAUGAGAACGGUCGCCCUACUAAGGUGACGGCCCAAAAGCUCUUAGAACAGGGAAUGCUCUUCACAAGGGAGGAAUGAGAUAAACCAUGCAUCAUCCCAACACGCCAACACCAUUAAUGACAGAGCAAAAAAGGAAGGAUCAAGUAAUGGCAGUCAGGUCUUUGAUCAAAAGAUUGUUGGUGUAUAGGAGAGGAAGAAAACAAGAAAAGUAGGAAUGGCAGCUAGAAUUUCUAAACAGCCAGAGUAAAAACAAGGAAGAGCUUUGCGGAGAAUAAUUGGAUGCGGCCAUACAAAUGGCCGAAUACAUAUAUGACCUGGAUGGGCCAGACAACUUGCCCGAAAGCCCGGAGUUAGUCAAAUUUUUGUGUGCAGAGCCAGACAAGCCACCACCAGAGGUUCAGGAUCCUUUGGAAGUCAUUGAUCUGGGGACGGAAGAAAAUCCAAGACCCAUACAAAUCAGUGGCUUGUUGGAGACUGGCGAUCGGACAGAGAUCAUUAGCCUUCUGCAAGAAUUUAAAGAUUGUUUUACUUGGCAUUAUACAGAAAUGCCAGGUUUAGAUUCAACCUUGGUGGAACACAGAAUGCCCAUCAAGGAGGGAUAUAAACCUGUCAAGCAAGCGUCACGAAGGAUGUCAAAAGAAAUAGAAGAAAAUGUCAAAGAAGAAAUUGAAAGGCUAGUAAAAACUGGAUUUAUUAGGCCUGCCAAAUAUGUGGAGUGGUUGGCCAACAUUGUACUUGUUUUAAAAGCCGUAACAAAAGUAGUACGAUGUUGUGUUGAUUACAGAAAUAUCUCAUGGCGCUACACCAAAAGAUGAAUAUCUCAUGCCCAUGGCUGGCCUAUCCAUAGAUGCAGUGGCAAAGCACAAAGUCAUAUCUUUUAUGGAUGGGAAUGUCGGGUAUAAUCAGAUAAAAAUGGCUCAGGAUGAUAUACACAAAACAGCUUUUAGGUGCCCCGGGCACGUGGGGGCAUAUGAAUACCUAAUCAUGCCAUUCGGGCUCAAAAAUGCUAGUGCAACCUACCAAAGAGCCAUGAAUGCCAUCUUUCAUGAUUUAAUUGGCCGAAGCAUGGAGGUAUACAUUGAUGAUAUCGUGGUGAAAUCCAAGACAGAAGAACAGCAUUUGACAGACCUCAGGCAAGCCUUGACAAGAGUGAGGAUCCAUAGACUAAAGAUGAAUCCAAAGAAGUGCGCGUUUGGAGUGAGAGCGGGCAACUUUUUAGGAUUCCUUGUUCAUCAAAGAGGUGUAGAGGUGGACAAAAACAAGUCUCGAGCAAUAAUGGAGUCACCUUUGCCCACCAACAAAGUACAACUUCAGAUGCUGCUAGGCAAAAUCAAUUUCUUGAGAAGAUUCAUUGCCAAUUUAGCGGGCAAAAUCCAGCCGCUAACUUCUCUUCUGAGAUUGAAGGAUAAAGAAGAAUUUGAAUGAGGACCACCACAUCAAAAGGCUUUUGACAGCAUAAAAGACUAUUUAACUUCUCCACCAGUGUUCGUACCACCUCAAAGGGGAAAACCCUUAAAGCUAUACAUCUCUGCUUAAGAAAAAUCAAUUGGAAGUUUACUGGCCCAUGACAACAAAGGCGGGAAGGAGCAAGCGGUGUACUACCUUAGUAGAAUUCUGACUGAGGUAGAAACAAGAUACACCCCAGUAGAGAGAUUGUGUUUAGCUCUAUAUUUCACUACCGGCAAGUUGAGGCAUUACAUGUUACCUUGUCACGUCCACAUCAUAGCCAAAACAGACGUGAUUAAGUACAUGUUGUCAAAACCAAUGCUAAUAGGAAGGAUUGGGAAGUGGAUUCUAGCAUUAUCAGAAUUCAGCUUUCAAUAUGUACCCCAAAGAGCAGUCAAAGGCCAAGCAAUUGCCGACUUCUUAACAGAGCAUAAAGAGUCUCAGAAUGAGAUUAUUAGCAUCUCAAGAACCUUAGAGGUAACCAGUGUUUGGAUCCCAUUAAGCAAAGGCAUCUCGGGGCAAGGAGGAAUGGGUCUAACAGGAGAUAAAAAAAGUAAUAGGUUUUUGGGUCACUUCUUGAAAGCUGUAUUUUGAUGGUUUUUACACUCAGAAGGCUUCUGGAGCUGGGAUUGUCAUCAUAAAUCCUUAAGGGGUUCACCAUUAUUAUUCGUUCCUCCUAGAUUAUCAAAUGAGCACCAACAAUCGCGCAGAAUAUGAGGCCUUAAUAAUUGGCCUAGAAAAUACAAGUGCAAGCAAUCACCAUGGCUGGAUAUUACUUAGCAGCCACUCAAUUGUUAAGUUAUUGGGAUACUGAGAUAUCGAUUAAUCAUGUCCCCAGGGAAUCCAAUCUGGUGGCCAACGAGGUGGCGCAAAUGGCCUCCGGGGUACCAAUCCAAGAAAGAAAGUAUGAAGUAGAUAUUGAGAUUCAAAGGAGAAAUCUCCCUUCUAUUUUAGAAAGGGGAUUCAGUCUGGAUAUGAUGGUUGUAGAGCCCGAGAUAGAAGAUUGGAGAUCACCUAUCAUUCAACAUUUAAAGGAUCCUUCUUCACCCACAAGCAAAAAGAAUAGACAGCAAGCAACCAAGUAUGUCUUAUGGGCGAAAAACCUGUUAAGAAAAACUCCAGAUGGGCUACUAUUGAAGUGCCUUGGCCAAGAAGAAUCUAUGAGAGUAAUGGCCGAAGUACAUGAAGGGAUAUGUGGGGCACAUCAAGCUGGAACAAAGAUGAGAUGGUUUCUUAUGAGGUAUGGGUAUUUCUCGCCCGACAUGGAAAAAUAUUGCAAGUCCUAUGCCCGAGGCUGUGAAGAAUGUCAAAGGCACGGACAUCUCCAACAUGUGCCUUCAGUACCUUUAAAUCCAGUGGUCAAGCCUUGGCCCUUCAGAGGAUGGGCAAUGGACUUCAUCGGGUAGAUUUAUCCAGCUUCUAGCAAGGGGCAUACUUUCAUAAUAGUGGCAACGGAUUAUUUCACCAAAUGGGUAGAAGCCUUGGCCGUGAAGUCCAUAACCUCAUCUGUGGUUAAGAAAUUUAUUGAGACCAAGAUUCUGCACAGAUAUGGGGUGCCCGAAACCAUAGUCACGGAUCGUGGGCCAUCUUUUAUUUCAAAGGAGAUUGAAGAAUUUGCAAGUAAAUACAAGAUAAAGAUGAUUCAGUCUAAUCCUUACUACCCUCAGUCAAAUGGUCAGGCCGAAGCUAGCAAUAAGAUUUUGAUAAACAUUAUCAAAAGAAUGGUGACAGAUAGUCCGGAGAAGUGGCAUGAGAAGCUAGGGGAUACUUUGUGGGCAUAUCGAACCUUCAAAAGGGCAGGAACUGGGACGAUUCCUUAUGCUCUGACUUUCGGGCAAGAUGCAAUGCUUCCCAUGGAAAUCAAUGUGAGUUCUGUCAGAAUUCAGAAUCAAUUCGGGUUACACAGUGAAGAAUACAUCGAAGCUAUGUGUCAAGGGAUUGAAGACUUAGAUGUAGCCCGAAUUGAGGCCUAAACCAGAUUCAAGAAGGAAAAAGAGCGGUUGCCCAAGCUUACAAUAAAAAGGUGAAGUUAAAGUCUUUCAGAGAAAAAGACUUAGUAUGGAAGGGAAUCCUCCCUUUAAGAGCUCAGCUUAGGGGCUUUGGGAAAUGGAGCCCGACUUGGGAAGGUUCUUUUAUUGUUAGUCAAGUAUUAGACAAAGGCGGAUAUUACUUGGCGGACAUAGAAGGGAAUUGGCAGAAACAUCCCAUUAAUGUUAAAUUCUUAAAGAAAUAUUAUCCUACAUUAUGGGAUGUCAGGGAUUGUUAUAUAGAAGAAGAAAGAGGAUAACGCAGGGUUCGAGAUGAAGAAGGGCAAUGUUUGUUCAUCAACCAUUCGAAAAAGGCAUAAAGAUAAAAGCAGUUAAAAAGGUAUAUUUUAUUCAUUUCGACAAAUUGGUGAAGUUUACAUUCAGCUCAAAGGCUUUACUUUCUUAAAAAGCUAGAAUAGAUCCUAGAAAAGAAGUUUCUACAUUUCUCCUGACGCGCUUUAUCCAACUCCUUCCAGUUGUGAUGCCGACUCGUGCAGUCUUCCGGUGUCUUCAUUUGCAAAACCCGAUCAGGUGAUCGGGUUGUGCGACCAUAAUAGGCCUGGUAGAGGACCCUCAAAGAAAACUUUCACAAGAUGUGACGGUGAAGUCUGACUUAUGAGGGCAACUACCAAGCUGGCAUUUACUCGACUAAGCCUAUAUAUUCAACAAGCUUAGAACGAGUAGAACGUCUGACCAAAGGUGUUGGGGAUAACGGGACGUUUGACCAAAGGUGUUGGAGAUAUUAGCUAUUUGGUGAGGAUCUUUCUUACGGAAUGAGAGUUUCAAGACUUUCCACAUGAAUCCUGAUGAGCGUUUUUCCCCAGUUUCAGAAAAAGAUUUAGAAGGCAGGGACGCCCGAAGGUGAUGAAGACUCUCCAAGAGGGGAAAGUAUUGAAGAUGGCUUGUCUGCUAAACAUGGGGAGUGAUUGGUUUGAGUUGCUUGCUCAGAAAAUGAAAAUUUGAGCCGGAAUUUAUAAGAGCAUCAGAUGAUAACCAAAAGUCCAUGGGAAGAGCAAGAGACGCAAGAUUGCAUUAAUUCCGUCCAAAGCUACAAGUUCCGAGAAUAGGCGUGCACACACAAACGACUGUUUAAUCAAUAUUGGCGCUUGGAAUUCCAGCCUAAAUAAUGAUUAUAGGGGGCACUGUUUGGAUUAAAACUUAAACUUUGGGCUCAAGUGGAAGUCAGCCAAAGGGAAGUCUGGAAGGAAGAAAACCUAAGGUCCAACCGAAGCCCAGAAGAUGGAAAAAGCCUUUUUUCGGCUAAGCGCAGACCACUUAAGCCACUUGCUCACCUACUCAAAGAACAAGUGGUGUAGAUCAGCCAGCUAAUCAUCCCAAAAGUACUUUACAAUGGCAGUACAAGUAAAAAGUUGGUGAGUCACUACCCUUCAGUCACAUUCGGGCAAGAGCAAAGCUACAGUCAACCGAGCCAAGUUGUCUAUAAAAGAAGAAAGAGAAAUCAAAGAUGAAGACACUUAAUCAAUCAAACAAACAAUCUUACAACUUGUCUAUCGCAGUCAAGCCAAGAAACCCACAAAGCUAUGCUUUGUCCAGAGUCUACACUCUUUUCAGCUUUAAGCUCCUUGUAGAACAGACAACCUUUGUCUUUGUAAAAGCUCUGCUACCUUGUCUAAAUCUUGUUGUAGUAUCGAUUCCCUCCUAUAAACUUCUCUACCAAUCUUCCCCUUUCAGCACCCAAACACUUUGUAACUACAAAGAAAGGAAGCUGCAAGACGAUCAACCUUGCCCGACCCUCUUUGUUCUGUCUGUUAAUUCAUAGAUCUAGCAGUAUGAUGUAUACUUCAAUAUAUAUCCAAGUUAUUUCUAGUCAGUUUGUGAUUAAAAGAUCUAUUGGUUCUCGAAUCUAGUCUGAUUAAUGGUUUUAACCAUUACAAAAGAUAAGUAAAGGUUCGAGCUCAAAUUUACGAAUCUAGUCAGUUGAGGAAGAAGUGGCUUAGACCUAUUAUGAUGGUUCAGAUAUUUCUCAAAUUUACGAAUUGAAGGUUAAAUCUUUCAGACUUCGUCAAGAGGGCCGGCCAGCUGGUGCUCCUCAUCCUAAUAAUCCUUCUAAUCAAUCUUUAAAUUCUCGUCCUUUUAAUCGAGAAAAUAAAGAUGAUUUGAAGUGGACUUUCUAUGGACAAACCCGUCAUACUGAGGAUACGUGCUUUGCUAAGCAUAGGGUGCCUGAUUGGUUUCCGAAGUUGAAGAAAAAUUGCGUGCAAAGGAGCUUGGAAGUGCAAGCAAUAAUGGAGGUCGUGUCUUCCUAGCUACUGCUCCACCGAAGGCUAAGGAGGCCGAGCCUACUUCUUAUGACCCGAGUCAAACCUUGUUGACUCGUUCUACCCAUGGCGACUCAUCCUUCACCACAGGUACUAUAGGGCAUGGUCUUUUGGCCUCCGAUACUGAGCAUCAUACAGGUUAGAUUCUGGACUCUGGUGCAAUAGAUCAUAUGACAUAUGAUAAGAAUAUGUUUUCAAUGUAUGACAACAUCUCACAUGGAAUAUAUUGCCACCACCAAUGGUACCCGUGCCCCUGUUGUUGGUGAUGGCACUGUGUAUCUUACAGCCUCUCUCCCUUUACACCGAUGUUUACUUGUUCCAUCUUUAUCACAUCAUUUACUUUCCAUACCACAGGUUACUGAACAAUUGGAUUGUGUUGUUCUAAUGUAUCCGUCAUUUUAUCUACUUUAGGAUAUUCAAACCAAUGAGACAAUUGGGCGUGGCACUAAGAGAGAGCAGUUGUACUAUGUGGAUGAUGUUGUUCCUAGCAGAGCUCAUGCAAUACGAGUGUUCUGUGAUAGUAAUCUACAAGAAGUAUGGUUAUUGCAUCGUCGAUUAGGGCAUGCAUCCUUUAGAUAUUUAAGGCAUAUGUUGCCUAGUUUAUUUAGUGGAAUAAAUGAAUCAAACUUACAUUGUGAAGUUUGUAUUCUUGCUAAAAGCUACCGUGCUUCAUUUCCUCCUAGUAUGAAUAAAAUACCUUUUCCGUUUGAUCUUGUGCAUUCCGAUGUUUGAGGGCCUUCUCCAGUUACUACUUCUUCAGGAAUUCGGCGGUUUGUUACAUUUGUUGAUGAUUGCACUUGUAUGACAUAGCUUUAUGUGUUGAAAAAUAAAAGUGAUGUUAGUGCCAUAUUUCGAUCUUUUGCUCAGAUAAUUCAGACAUAAUAUUCUUCUGUUAUCAAGGUUCUCCGUUCUGAUAAUGGAGGAGAGUACAUCAAUUUUGAGUUGUCGGAGUUUCUACGUGAUCAAGGGAUUCUCCAUGAAACCACGUGUCCGUAUACUCCACAACAAAAUGGGGUUGCAAAGUGUAAAAAUCACCACAUUUUGGAAACAGCUCGUGCCUUGCUCCUUGGCGCCUCGGUUCCGCAGCGUUUUUGGCCUGAAACGGUUACCUAUGCCGUGUAUGUUAUUAAUCGUAUACCCUCUCGGGUGGUUAGUUUUCAAACACAUCUUCAAGUCCUCACACAACAUGCUCCAGUGGUGUCCAGUAAUACUCUCACCCCUCGAGUCUUUGGUUGUUUGGCUUAUGUUCAUAUUCAGAAAAUACAUCGUAAUAAAUUGAAUCCGUGUGCACUACGAUGUGUCUUUCUGGGUUUCUCUUCUCGCCAAAAGGGGUAUAAGUGUUACCAUCAUGAAACCCGGCAUAUGUAUAUAACCAUGAAUGUGACCUUCUCUCAAACGGGAUAUUUCUACACUUCUGUAUCCUCCACUUCAGAUCACCAGGGGGAGAACACUGUUGGUAAUCUGAAAUUGUUGGAUCUAUGGGAGAUGUGAUUAUUAAACAGCGUGUAGGACCUGGAAUUGUUGGUGCCGAAUGUACAGUGGGUACCGAGUGUAUUGAUAGCUCGGAUGAUGUUUGUGAUUUAAAGUUGAAUCUGACCGAACCCAUAAGAGAGUCUCAGCCAGCUAGUGUCAAGGAAUGUCCAGUUGUUCAGCAAUCCCUUGCUGAGCCCACUACACAUGCCCUUGUCGAGCCCAGUACAUCCUCUCUCUCUAGUUCUGAUGUGCCACCCAAUACAUCUUCUCUGAAUAUGCCAGAGGUAAGUAUCGUAAAUGAUUGUGUAACUAAUCUAAGUAAUAAUGUGAGUACUUAUAAAGUGCCACCAAGACAAAAUCGAGGUGUGCCUCUUGAUAGGUUUUCUCCUGAAGGGAAGGUGAAGUAUCUGAUAGCCAAUUAUGUAUCAUGUAACAAGCUUGCACCAGAACGACAUACAUUGGUGAGUACUAUGGAGUCUAUUCCAGUACCUACUCGAGUGGAGGAAGCUCUAAAAGAUCCAACGUGGGCAAAAGCAAUGGAUGAGGAGAUGUUGGCAUUACAGAAAAAUAAUACUUGGGAGGUGAUGAUGCUACCUACAGGAAAGAAAACAGUAGGAUGCUGAUAGGUAUUUACGGUUAAAUAUAAGGUUGAUGGAACUGUAGACAGAUACAAAGCAAGGUUGGUGGCUAAAGGGUAUACUCAAACAUAUGAGGUGGAUUAUCAAGAGACUUUCUCCCAGGUUUCCAAGAUGAAUAUGGUACGUGUUCUUAUCUCUUUAGCUGUAAAUAUGGAUUGUCCAUUAAAACCGUUCGAUGUGAAGAAUGCGUUUCUCCAUGAGAAUUUGAAGGAAGAAGUAUAUAUGGAUUUUCCUCCUGGAUAUAGCAAUGGUGGGAAUACCGGAGUAUGUCGGUUGCGUAAGUCACUUUAUGCGCUUAAACAAUCGCCUCGUGCAUGGUUUGAUAAAAUUACUCAAGUGAUGAAAAUGAAUGGAUAUCGUCAGAGUCAUUUUGAUCAUACUUUAUUUGUAAAGCGUAAACAAAAUAAAGUAACAACCUUGAUUAUUUAUGUAGAUGACAUGAUUAUAACAGGAGAUGACGUUGAUGAGAUGUCCAAGUUGCAAGGAAACCUUGCGGUUAAAUUCAAAAUGAAGGAUUUAGGAGAUCUGAAGUAUUUUUUGGGAGUUGAAGUUGCUCGCUCAUCUAAAGGUAUCUUCUUGUCUCAAUGUAAGUAUGUACUGGAUAUAUUAAAAGAGACGGGUAUGUUGGAAUGUAAGCCGGUAGAGACUCCUAUUGUUGAGAAACAUCAUUUGUGUUUGAAUCUAAGUCAGAAACCGGUUGACAAAGGUAGAUAUCAGAAGCUUGUAGAGAGACUGAUUUAUUUGGCUCAUACUCGUCCUGAUAUUGCCUAUGUUGUGAGUGUUGUGAGUCAGUUCAUGCAUUCACCAAAUGUGGAUCAUAUGGCUGCUGUUAUGCAUAUCUUGGCAUACUUGAAGUCGGCACCUGGAAAAGAAGUAUUGUAUGGGAAACACGGGCAUUUGAGAAUUGAAGGGUUUACUGAUGCAGAUUGGGCAGGUGAUGUAACUGAUAGACGGUCUACUUCUGGGUAUUUUACCUUUGUUAGAGGGAAUUUGGUGACAUAGCGAAGUAAGAAAUAGAAGGUGGUGUCACGGUCUUCAGCUGAGGCCGAAUAUAGAGGAAUGGCUCAAGGAAUUUGUGAAAUCCUUUGGCUACGAAAACUUCUUUUAGGACUUGGGGGUUUAAACCGAAGGAGAUCAUGAAGUUGUAUUUUGACAACAAGUCAGCAAGAGAUAUAGCUGAUAAUCCAGUGCAGCAUGAUAUAACGAAGCAUGUAGAGGUGGAUCUGCAUUUUAUUAAGAAGAAGCUUGAAAAGAAGAUUGUAUCAAUACCGUUUGUGAAUUCAGAGGAGCAACUUGUAGAUGUUCUUACUCAUGCAGUAUGUGGUCGAAAGUUUGGUGACUCACCUGUCAAGUUAGGCAUGCCACUACUAGAAAUUUGGCUAUAAGCCACCCUUUCAUUUGGUGGCUAUUGUCAAGUGUUGCCACUCACAUUGGUGGCAAACCUCUAUGGCCACCAAGCACCCACUAAACUAGAGAGUGUGGCCUAUGUAGAGGACUCUAUUGUAACAAUGGCUAACAAUAUUGCAUUGGUGGGUAUGUGAAUAGUACAACAUUUUUAUAUUUUAUAAUUAUUUGUAAAAUUCAAAAUAUGUCAUUGUCUCUCUUAUUAGUGGCUAGAUUUGAGACUAACAUUGGUGGUUUUCAGACUCAUACACCCACCAAUCCUAUGUGUCUCUAUUAGGAUCAGUGGCUUUUAAAGUAUGGGCACCAACAAUGGUGUGAAUCUAUAGCAUUCCAAAUGGCCUUUAUGUUCGAAUUGUAUUACAUGGCUGUUAAAUCAUAGCUCUGUACUAUAUUAAAACUCAUCUUCUUAAUAUAAACUUCACAUUGAUUUUAAAUUUGCAAAAGGAUUCACCUUGAUAACCAACCACACUUUAUAUCCCAUACGGAAUCAAUAACAAGGUUUGUCCCUUUUAAAGGAAGCAUAUUACAUUCAUGUUUGUUAUCCAACACAUCCAACUACCCAAGGGUGAUGAGAUUACAUUUUAUAAAACCAACAGUACAUAUGCACAUCCACCAAUAGCAACUGAACUAACAAAAUCCACCCAAUUGGAUCUAUGUCUUCCCUAUGACAUUUGUACUAUAUACAUCAAGCAAAAUUCACAGGAAUGAUCACAGUUAGCUUAUCACGUACUGAACCUAGUGACAUUCACCAUGCAUGGACGAUAGACAAUUAGCUUAUCACUUACUGAACCCAGUGACAUUCACCAUGCAUGGACGAUAGACCAUCUCAUCAUCUGUGCCAUUAUUCUGCAGCACAACAAUGCCAUCAUCUUCAACUUCUCCACUUGCCUAAAUCUCCAAACUAGUCCCUUGUUCAAUUCUAGUCACACAAGCUUGAGUCACAUCAACUCGAUUUGGUUCCACAAUGCCUCCAUCAGCAGCCCUCAUCAGCAUGGACAUAAUUGCAGCCCUCAGUUCACGUUUCAUGUUUCCACAACAAGGUGCCUAAAGAUGAAGUAGUCAAGUAAAAUAUGUAACGUAAACAAAUUAAGUAAAUAUAGUAUGUGAAUAAAGAGGACAAAAUUUACAUACGCAACUGCAAGGGAGUAUAUUAUUUUAGAAUUCAAUUUUUGUAAGAGGAAAAAAAACUCCAAUCGCUUUUAUGAGUGACAUUGUAUAUAUGAGUCUUGCACAGGAUUUUAGGGUGCAGGUGUCACGCCCCGAUCCCAACUCCAGGAUCGACACGUGAUGUUACCAAACACUCGUAUCUCAACAUACCCCGUUUCCAGAAUAUGGCAAAUCACAACUCAAGAAUCAAAUCGCAUAGUCAUUUUUCCGUAUACUUUAUGGCUGCAUCUAACAUCCUCGUUAGACUGCCUACGUACCCUUAUUAGGGAUCAAGCCAUUUGUAGUUCGUCCAUUCGCUACACUCGAACAUUCAUCACAUAAACCACUAUAUCUCAAAAUAAUACCACAAUUCAAUUAUAUAGCACCUCAAGGAGCAUUUAACAAGGCACAAUAUUAGUAUCUAUUCAUAUCAUCACUCAUCCACACAUAUGUAUUCCAACACCAUCCAAUUAUCACAUCAAUCAAUAAUACCAAUCACCAUAUUAUCAAUAACACAUACAAUUCAUCGAAAUACUCAACGAAAUCCAUCAACAUCGGGUUUCAGAACUCUCAACGGAACCAAGACACCAAAGGGGAUUCCGGACCAUCACUCAACGAAAUCCAAACUAGGAUACGAUUCCGGACCAUCACUCAACGGAAUCGCGGAGUAGAAGGGAUUCCAGACCAUUACUCAACGAAAUCCAAACCAAGAUACGAUUCCGAACCAUCACUCAACGAAAUCGCGGAGUAGAAGGGAUUUUGGACCAUCACUCAACGGAAUCACAUGAUAGAAGGGAUUCCGGACCAUCAUUCAACGGAAUCAUAAGAUAGAAAGGAUUCUGACCAUCACUCAAUGGAAUCAUAGGAUAGAAGGGAUUCCAGACCAUCACUCAAUGGAAUCAUAGGAUAGAAGGGAUUCCGGACCAUCACUCAACGGAAUCCAAGCAAAGCAUAUGGUACCUACCAAAUGUACCAGGUAUAUCUAAACCUUAUCAUCUCCAUAAUUACAACGUAGUCACUUACCACAUUCACUUCUCGCGGCCACCAACUAAUAUGUCACACAAGCAUAUAAGUUCUAUAGAAUACUUCUAAUAGGAAUAUACGAUCACAUUGUCACCACAUUUAUCGGACUUACCCUUCACAUUACUAAAAGAUAAUUAAACGCACAUAUAUCACAAUCAUCACUCUUACCCUUCAUAGACUUUCUUUGUGUCAUGUUUGGUGAUACACAAACUCUCACAAAUGGUGUUCCUGACAACCGACCUUGCUACUAACAAACUGCAAUAACAGAAAUUACAUCAUAUGAAAGUAGUUAAAUAAUUUUAUUUAAUCGUAGGUCAUAAAGCUCAAAACUUUCUAUCAAAAUAAUUCAAAACCUCAAAUAGAGAACAAAACAUCUACAUUGACAAUAACAACCCCGAACAAUGAACGAAACAUUGAAAUGAAAUCAAAUCAUGUGAUACCUUUUCAAGUGAUGCCCCUAUGAGGAGAUCAAAUUAUGUACCCUAGAAUGGACUGAAAACUGCUCAAUGAGAAUAAAACCAAGCAAAAAAUAUAAGCAAAAACUGGGUUCCAAAGUACGCCCCAAAAUUGUACUGCUUAGACUACUGUCUCAAUUGAGCGCAGCAAAAUGGAGACCCCAACAUUCAAUGAUAAAGAGAAUGUUUUCGUGCCAAUAAAUGCCUCCUUGAAGUUAGAGAGGGAUAUGAAGGACUACUCUACCACUCUUUGAUUAUUAUUUGUAGCUGUUAGAUAGCAAUGCAAAAGCUCUCAUGAGGGGAAAUCGCAGAGGCUGGUCCUAAUUUACGAGACAACAUAGAUGCAUGUACGUAAACAGCAGGGAGUUGUCCUACAGAGGCCAUGUCGCUUCCUCGUCUACUAAUAAUUACAUUGUUUUGAAGUUGUAGACCACAUAACGAAGCAUGGAAUGUAGCUUAACUAUUAGCAUUCAUGCAGGGGUCGUAGGUAUCAGCUUUAACUCAUACCAAAACUCAAAAACACAUAAAAUAUCAUAUGCAAGUUCUUUCAUAGCCAUGUUAAUGUAAACCAAACUUUCUCUACCAAAGUCCAUUUUUGUGUUUACGCUGUUUACAGAACACAAGCACAAAAUGUGAUAUCCUUAUAGCAUAAGCUUAACCAAGAGUGGAACUUUACAUAGAUAGUUCUACUUAUACCCAUUUUCUUUCAGUUUCUACAGGCUGUAAGGAUAGUGGUUUGUUUAAAAAAAUGUAGUUGCGAUUUGCCUAACUCGUGAUGUUGUGGAAACAGUACAGAGAUUCUUAUAUUUAUACACCAACCAAUAACUCCUAGCUUAUAUCUGCAAUAACAAUAAUAAGCAACCCUGUAUGGUUUCCAGUUUGAUCCAACGUGAACAGAUAGAAGAAGCACUUCAAACUAAACUAACAAAAAACUCCAACAUAAUCGAAGACUUAAUAAACAAAUUGAAAAGUUUGGUCUAAAAAAUGUUGAAUAUUGAAUAUGAGAAACACAAAAUUACCUGUUUUUACUCCCUAAAAUCAAUUCGAUGUGUUGCAAGCCCCAAAUUGAUUGUAAGAAACCCAAUUGAUAAUAAAUAAUGAACCGAGGAGCUUAAUCUGUUGAGAAAUUAAAAGGGCAAGGUAUGCGAAGCAAAUACCCAGCAACGUGGGAGCCGAGUUCCAUUGCCCACGCCAGUCGCCAACAAAACGAAGCCACUAACAAUCUUGUCCAUUAUGCCCUGUCCGCAUCCUGAGACUGAGACUGGUUCGCGGAACCGCCCGACUUCAUCACUGAUUCAAUAAUGACCGAGAUAUGCGAUUAGGGUCCAAGGCUCUAUCCUUCUAUGAGUUUUUGAUGCGAAAAUUAUCUUAACACACAAAUUUAACCCUCUUUUGACAAUUGUAGUAUAAGUAUAAGUAGGGAUCGUUCUAGGCCGGGGAUUAAGAGGGAUUGCUAAUUUACUCUAAACUGACUCAAAGACACAAAAACAAACUUAAAAGCGUUAGGAUAGAUUCAAAAUACUCAAAACUAGUUCACAAGACUCAACAUAAGCUAAGAAGACUCAAAACUGCCUAAAAACAACAACUAGGCAAUUUCUGACACUAAACACAAUUUUGGACGAAAAUAAAGUUUGGACUUGACUCAAAACACUUAAAACGCAAACAAAACAAGUUUAAAAGAAUUUGAAACAAGAAAGUAAUGGGGGGUUUGAUUUGGACGAACUUAGAAUAACAAAACAAAUUGUAACUUAAAAACAGGUUUGAAAAUAAAUUUAGAAAAUUAGAUGGAUGAUGGGAUAGCUAGAGGAUUUUUCUCCACACAUGACAUGUAUGCAAACAACUCGAUUUCCAGUUACUACUUCAUUGAAUUAUGAACGACAAUACUCCAAAUUAACUGUGACAUCACUAGUUAACCCUCAAAUUUUCCUUGUUUUAUUGGAUUGGAUGACAUCAUUCGACAACCCAAAACAUUCUUCAAAAGUUCCCUACAUGACAUCAUAAUAGAGAUACAAUCAAAGAUCAUUACAUUUAAUGAAAAUCAUAAGCAUUGACAAAGCACUUGCAACUAUGACAUCAUGUCACUCAUGCUAGGAAUUAAACUUAACGCGAUCGUUUAUAAGCGACCUCCACUACUUGUGAAUAUAAGUUUUUAACAAUUAUGUGAAACUUUCUUAUACUCUAGCAUCGGAUUUAUGCAUGCCAAUUAAGUGUCGACCCUUAAUCAACAAAUACAAAUAAGUUAUCAAUCAAACAGUUAAGCCAAUUGCAUUCAUGAUUCAAGAAUUCAUAACUGGAAUUUAUCAAAUCAUCUUGUACACAUAAUCAUGGCUUUGAAAUCACCCCUAGCCAAGAGGGGUUUAGCCACUCAUGUUCACAACAAAACGAAAGAAAAUGAAUUUAAACAUUGGAAACAAAAGAAAGAAAACACCUAAACGCUCCAAUGAUCCAAGUUGACAGCAAGCACGUCCAAGCACUUUCCUUUCCUUCCUUUGCUACGGCACAAGGUGUUGGUGAGUGUUUGAAGGUUGUUUGUAUGGAGGAAUGAAUGUAAAGAUGAAUGGAUGUGUUUGGAUGAAGGUUGUGUUGAAAUGGGAGUGAAUGAUCUAACAAAAUAUGCACUAAAUUUAUGUUACACACACUUCCUUUUAUAGAGGAAGUGCAAGGCAAUGGAGGGGGACAUGAAGUGUGUGUGCAAUGAUUCAAGGGUGAAAGUGAAGUAAUGAUGCAAAGCAUGGGUAAAAUAGAGUGGUGUUGAAAUGAUUCAAGGGUGAAAGUGAAGUAAUGAUGCAAAGCAUGGGUAAAAUGGAGUGGUGUUGAAAUGAUUCAAAGGUGAAAGUGAAGUAAUGAUGCAAAGUAUGAGGGGUAAAAUGGAGUGGUGUUGCAACAAUGAAUGCAAGUAGGGAACAUGAAUGAUUGUGCACAUGGUAGAGAAAGGAAAGUGAGGUGGAAUGGUGUAGAAAUGAGUCAAGGGUUAAGGUGGAGUGAUGAUUGAUGCAAGAAAUUUGGAAUGAUGGAGGGAACAAGGGUGGUGCAAGGCAAUGAGUGAAUGAAAUAGACAAGGAAUGUUGUUGGAACUUAGGGACAUUGAGGAUUAGGAAAGAUUAAAUCAAAAUAAGGUAAUCUUGACUCAUGUUUCUUCAUUGGUUGCUGAGCUCUUUGUCCUUUUUAAAUUAAUUCUUCUUUCUCUUUAACACAUUCCUAGCCUCUUUAAUCUUCAAUUUCGCCUAUCUACUUAGCUCCAAGGAUGUGUUAUAUAUUCCAAGCCCAAAACUGCUCCAAAAGGCUUCAAAAUGCACAUUUUUGCGUACGUUGUCCUUAGAACCUGAAAUUGCACGAAAAUGACUUUAAACACUAAAACAACUAAGGAAUAACAACAUAAAUGCAUGAGAACAAGCUAACUCAGUCGCAUAAAUAUGCUCCUAUCAGUUUUGGCUCUAUCUCCCUUUUGUAUUGGACGUGCAUCCGUAGGUCCUGAUAAGCAAAUAUAUAUCCCAGCUUUAAAAACAAAAAAAUUAACCAGUACGUUCCCAACAAAAUAAAUAACAAAAUACAUAAUGAAAUUAAAAAGUAGAAGGAAAGAAAUUUUAAGAAAUAAAGAUAUUUAACAACCACCAAUCAUUGGUGGCUCAAUGUUGAAGGCCACCAACAUCAGCGGCAUCCCAUGGUAAAACCACCAAAAAAUAGUAAGAGUAGCAACUUUACAUCUAUGGCCACCAAUUGCAAAGGGUGUGAAAAAAAUGGUGUCCUAUGAGCCAAAAUUCUAGUAGUGUGUGUGAUAUCUAUGCACCAACUUAAGGGGAGUGUAAACGUGAGUCAUUAAAAAUAAGUAUGUAAAUAUAUUGUAAAUAUUAGGAGUCCUUUAUUAGGAAGUUUUAAUUGUUGUGUCCUUUAUUUAUUAAGGAAAACUAAUGAAAAGAACUUGAAAACUUUGAGUUUUAACGAUAAAGACAAAAUAAAGGGUAAAAUGAAUAGUACCAGGUUUGACUUUUUAGUGUAAAAAUGUGGUUUUUCGUUAAAGUGAACAGUACCGUGGGUUUUUCGUUAAAACUCCCUAUUUAUUAUUGUUUCCAUAUAUAACAAGGAUUGUAUUUGUAUAUAUUUCAAGGAAGUAAUACAAUGAAAAUUAUUCCAUAAAAUUCUAUUAUUAAUGUUGUAUCAUAUCUCGGAGUUCGGGAUGUAACAUUAUUGUGAUUCGAUUUAGGUACAGACCUUACCAGAGUGACAAAGACAAGGCUCCUCCAGGGAGGACUAGUCGGAGGUGUGAAUGGACAUUUAUUUUAGAGAUGUUUCUUUACUUCUUUCACUACUCGAGAUUGCAGCAUAUCGGACGUAUAGCGCUGAUAGAAAGGAAAAAGAGAAUCGAUUAAGAAUUGAAAGAGCCUAUGGAAUUGUCUUCAAAGGAAUGCUCUCUUUUGAAUUCCUUAUUGUUGUCAAAGUCCUCAACUCGUAAUACUGAGAGAUUGAAUCUUUCACGCUCGGCCAAACUUUUCUUGGAAUUUGAAUUAGAUGAAACCAAGUCCUCAACUCGUAAUACUGAGAGAUUGAAUCUUUCACGCUUGGCCAAACUUUUCUUGGAAUUUGAAUUAGAUGAAACCAUAUGAACCUUGAACAGAGCAAAACAAAACUAAUACUGAGAGAUUGAAAUCAUUGAAGUGGACGUGGAUGCUGGGUACUUAACACUCAAGGAAAUCAGUCCAAGAAUGAAAACUCUCUUUUCAUUUGCUAUCCAAUUUUUUGGAAUUAUGUGUGUUGUCCAAUGGAUUAUUCUUUUUUUAUUAAAUUUCUAAGGAAAAUGAGCAUAAGGCGUAAAAGUUGAACUAAUGAAAUUUCAACGAUUUGGAAAGGGAUUAUGAGUUUGCCACGCCACGAAAAACUAUAUUAGAGAGAGAUGAGACAUUUUUUAGAAGAAAACCUCAUUUUCUAAGUGGUACACGCAACUUGAUUAGAAGAAAAGUCAUAGUAUUUUAUUUACUUCCAACUCUUUGGGGAAGAGAGUGCAAGUUUCCAAUGGAAUAUGGGAUGAAAUUUCUACAUAACUAUAUAUGACAAAGAAAGAAGUCUUAAGUUUCUAAGUGGUGAGGCUUCUAAUUGUGUGAGUUUGUUGAGAAAUGAAGAUGAACAUGAAUAUUGAUAUUGAUGUGAGUUAGUGAACAAGUUGCUUCGAUCUCCUUUGGCCCUCUAAUAAGAUAAUAUCGGAAAACAAGUUGUUACUAAUAUUUUUUUAAGUGUCACUAGUCUCGCCCUAUUGUCUUAUUUUUUUCAUCCACAUUAUAAUCUCACCCAUCAUAAAAAAUUAAAAAUAAAAAACUCUAUUUUCCCACCCACCCUUAUUCCUAAUAUAACCUUUUAUAUAUCUCUAAAUUCUUUUAGAUUUUAUCUAUUAGAAUAUAUAUAUAUAUACACACACACACACACACACCUCAACAAAAAAAUGAUAAAAAUUAGUUAACCAUCCCAAUUCCAAAACCGUAGAAGCAACAUAAUUCCAAACCCCAUCUGCACCACGAUCCUCAAUACGGCAGUCGUACCAACACCCAAGCUCCACCCCAUCCAACCUUCGCAACAACUGCAUUCCCUUCUCUGAAUGUAUGAGAACAAGAAAUACAUUUUUUUUUCAUCGUGUCUGGAGUAGCCAAGGAGGAGAAAAAGAAGUAGAAGCAAAACAAUAAAUCACACUAGAAGAGUCACUUUCAAUCCAUAAAUUUUGCCAAGCAUGCGCGUCAGCCAACUCCACAGCACGGAUGACCGCAUGAAGCUCCGCAUAUAAAGAAGUAUGAUGUCCCAAGCUCAAGGAGAAAUCCCUAAGAAAAUAACUCGCAGAAUCUCGAAAAACCCCACCACAAGCUGCAGGACCUGGGUUACCUUUAGCGAGGUUUUCCAUAUUCACUUUGACCCAGGAAAAUGAAGGGGGAUGCCAAGGAACGUGAACUAUGGAAUGAGCUUGACAAGACUCAGCCGAGAUUCGAAGAGAGAUUAAGAGUUGUUUAUCCAAAAUACCACGUACAUGAUCAUGAGUGAAAACUCCAACCUGCCUAAUCCAUGCCAAAGUGGAACGACAAAUGUGUGCAAAGGAAUGAGGCUUACUAAUACAUGUACCGGAUUGGUAGACUAAGACGUACGGUAAGAUUUUUGAUAACCAGAGAAGAUGAACACUGUCAAUGUCGUGACAAAAUUUAUCCAAAUAGAUCCAAACACUCAGGAAGUUUCAUAUGCAGAUCUAGAGCUAAUUUCCUUUUUUUAUCUUAUAGUCAUUACGUAAAAUGUAUAUGCAUAUUUCUAGAUGCAUACACACCAAUGUACAUAAUAUUAACUCCUUUCAAGUAGUCAUUUGCAAAUUUAUUUCAUGUGCCAUUUGUAAUGCUCAUGUGGUACAUUUCUAAUAUCUUAUAUAUAACUUUUUGUGAUCCGUUUCUUCAUCACUAUGCCUAAAUACCUUUAGAAUUUGGUAAUUUCCUCACCCCAAACAAACCCUAACACUCUGUUUAGAUAUGGUAAAAAAACUCGAAAUUUCAUUUAAACUCGAAAUUUCAUUUAAACUCGAAAAUUUAGGGAUGGGAAAGAAAUUUUCCCUUAUUUGGCACUUGUAGCGAGAGAAAAAGGCAAAUUCUAAGGGAAAAAAGUUGAAAUAGGGGAUGAAGAUUUUCCGAUUUUAAUUUCAUCUAAAUAGGUGUAAUUUCACAAUUCCAACUACGACGAGAAUCACAAAUUCAUAUGUAGGAAAAUCUUGCAAGCGCAAAACUUUACAAUUAGGGCACCAAAAUUUCAUGAUAAAACCUGAUAAGGGUUUAGGGCUGCAUCUUUCACUCUACUAACUCUCCAAUCUUCAAAGAGAUUUUCGGCUCAUGCAUCAUCUUCUUGCUUUUGUUAGAGGUCAGCGCCUCUAAUAUCUUCUUUCUUGAAUUAUUUUAGCUUUUCGGGUAUACUCUUUAAGCCAAUUGUGAAUUUUUGCUAAUUAUUUUUAUUUUCUGAUAGUCAUAAGUUUGUUGUGCUUGUUUUCUUUCUUCCGAUUGAAUUGUGUGUUGGUUGGAUCUGUGACACAAUUUUCAGUUUUUUUAUGGAUUUUGCUGCUAGUUCUUUGUUAUAAAUAUUUUGCUUUUGAAGGUUAACAAUAGCCAAGACUGAAUAGGAUGAUUUUGGCGUUAAUUACUAUCUCAUGGUACCAUACCACCACACGCCAAAGCCACCAUCACAUCAUCAUCGCCGCCACCACGAGCCCAUAGGACAACAAAAGCUUGGAGCUUGGGUGGCAGAGGAGAUAGCACCACACGCCAAAGUCACCAUCACAUCAUUAUCGUCGCCACCACGAGCCCAUAGUAAUGGACUUGGAUUGUCUGCCCUCCUAGUUGUGGUGCCCUUCCAUGCCCUCCUAUUUUGUACGGUCACGGUUAAGCCACGUCAAUAUUUUAUAUUAAUUUUUUAAUGAGAUAAUAAGACAAAAAAUAAUUAAAAUAUAAAAUAUUGACGUGGCUUAACCGUGACCGCACAAAAUAAGAGGGCAUGGAAGGGCACCACAACUAGGAGGGCAGACAAUCCAAGUCCCAUAGUAAUCGGCAUAAAAUCAUUAGCCUUAAACGCCGCCAGGGGUUUCCGCCGACUGAGAAAAAGAUAAGAUUUGUGAACACCGAGGUCAUAUCGAUGGCAUCAUAUCAAAACUGAAAUCUUUUAAUCAUCCUCAUCAUUACAGCUAUCCACAAAUUGAAGCAACGAAUUGGGCAAGUGUGCAACAAAUUUCCAAUGUGGGUUUAAUGAGGUUUGUAGUUAAAGAGGGAUGCAAUUUAAGGAUCUGUUCUUGUAAUUUUAUCUGUUCACUUUUGCUUUAUUUGUUUUUUGGUUGCAUUGCCUCAAAAACCUUGUGCUUAUACAUGUAUACAGAACUUUUGGUUAAAACAAAAAGUCACAUAUACCGUAAUUAUUUAAAUUUUGUUGCAUAUCACAAUAUAUCUUUGUUCAUACAUUCAAACAAGCAUGGCAAAUACCGAGGAGGAACAUAGGAAAAAAAUUAAAAUUAUUGUUACAAUUGUAUAUUUUAUUGACAUGGUCAUGCAUUGGUAUAGUAAGAGUUUCCUUGUCAUAGAAUUUUCAAAUGAUUGGGAUCAAGAAAGACAACAUUUUUGAAACUGAUUAUUCUCACCACACAGUAGAAACAAUUUUUUUAAAAGCAUAGCAAUACCAAACUACUACUGUCAUUCUCCUUGGCGCUAUAUUUUUCCUUAGCGCCAUAAGUUUGCUAAGGUGAAGAACCAGCGUCCAUUAAUUUCCAUAUGGAGAGAGAAAGAGAGAGAGAAGACCAAGUAGUCUCAUAAUAUAGGUGGUGUUAAAUCACCUUCCGUGAAGUUGCAAUGGUGUUUGAAACAGUUAGUCAACGGAAAAGACAGAAUUGUGUAUUAUAAUGCUAUCUCGCUAUCCCUCUUUCGUUAAUGGAGGGCACCGUAUAAAUGUAUAAUUACUACAUAUAUAUCUCUGCUCAAUUACAAAAAGAAAAAUCCAUGCGCAUUAUUUUUAUUAUUAUUAGCUUAGAAAUGCAGAAAUUGUUCAUCUCUUCCCUUUAUGUGUGCCCGGACUGGUUUUCUUCAAACUAGUUGGAACAAGCCAAUAUGUGUGCCCGGAAUCCAAGUGUGGCGAUGAUCAAGGCCCGGCUAUCCAAUCCCCAUUGCGCAUCAGCGUCACACAUCAGUGUGGAAAUCCUGGGCUUGAAUGCAAUGGGGGAUAUGAGCAGCAAAUACUAAUAAAAUCAUUUGUCAAACACAUAGAUUACAAGCGUCAGGAAAUCCAAGUAUAUGAUCCAAGCAACUGCCUGCUGCUAAAGCUUGCUGAAAUCACAACCAUGCCACCCUCUCCCUUCUACUUGACAAAUUUUAGAAACCUUAACCUUACCUUAUUCAGUUGUCCUACUUCUGUUGCAAGAGAUAUGGAUUUGUAUCAAGUCCCCUGCCUCGGCGACCCUAGCAGCAGAAUUUAUGCCAUUGAUUCUACAUACGAAUUAGAAGAUUUCUUCCAGAAUCUACAAUCUUGUUCAAAGAUGUAUGAUGUUUUAUCAGUUCCAUUUGGCGAUUGGGCGGGUAAUGGCCGUGUUCUUCAAUUCAAAUGGUCGAAACCAAAUUGUACAGAAUGUGAAGCAGAGGGAAAGAGGUGUAAAUGGAAGAACAAUGGCACCAACAGUGAAAUUGAAUGUCAACACGUGAGCAAACCAAGUAAGGAGAACAUUUUAUAUUCAUUGCUAAUUUUAAACAUCGUUAUAUUUAUGUCUCAGUAAGUAUUAUUUGAAGGAUGUUGUCCGAUCCAUAUUUCUGAGGAUAUUAAUUGUCAUUCUCAAUUUAAUUUGCAAUUCUUUUACAGGCAACACAUGGAAAUUAGUGGUUACAGGUGGAGUCCUGGGUUCUUUGCUUCUUGUUCUACUGAUGAUUGCAGCAUAUCGGGUAUAUAGAGCUGAUAGAAAGGAAAAAGAGAGCCAAUUAAGAAUUGAAAGAUUCUUGGAGGAUUACAAAGCACUCAAACCAAGCAGGUAUUCGUAUGCAGAUAUUAAGAGGAUUACAAAUCAAUUCAAGGACAAGUUGGGCGAAGGAGCCUAUGGAACUGUCUUCAAAGGAAUGCUCUCUUCUGAAUUCUUUAUUGCUGUCAAAGUCCUCAACAGUUCCAAGGGAGAUGGGGAAGAGUUCGUAAAUGAAGUGCGAACGAUGGGUCAUAUCCACCACGUCAACGUGGCUCGCUUGGUUGGAUUUUGUGCUGAUGGAUUUAUACGAGCUCUUGUUUACGAGUUCUUCCCCAACGGUUCCCUGCAGGAUUUCAUUUCAUCAGCAGAUAG